RNAcentral lists this long non-coding RNA (57740 nucleotides) under Setaria viridis. RNAcentral describes it as "long non-coding RNA (SVIR_LNC002558)". The record is from RNAcentral. Lineage: Eukaryota; Viridiplantae; Streptophyta; Magnoliopsida; Poales; Poaceae.
CCUCCGAUCGUGCACGCACCGACACCCUGGCUCUCCGCAGCGGCGCCUCCGCCGCGGCAUUCUCGCCGCGCUCAGGCGUCCCCGCCGUCCCAUCCUGCUUGUUCUGAUCCGCUUCGCCGCCGCUGCCACUGCCACCAUCGGAAUCACCCCUAUCGCCGUCAAACGACGCCGGGGCCCCAGCUCUUAUCGCCGGGGCCAUGCGGGGGUCCAUGAAUUGCACUCCCGCCGGCAUUGUCGCCGGUAGCAUCGAGUUCGCCGAGCCGCUGGCCUGUAUCGAUCCAUCAAAAUUGUAAUGAACGCGUUGCUGAUGAUGUGUGUUACUUGUCAUGAUCAUUGGCAGUACGUAGCAAUCAGAUUAAAGGAGAGAUAUAAUUAAGAUAGUAGAAAAAUGGAACAUAAGGAUGUACGACGGAAAUGCAUCGGGGUAAUGCAGACAUAAACACGCUAACAACCAUUAGUAAGUGUGGCUUUGUUCUCAAGCUUAAUUUGUUUUGGCACGGCCAAAGGUUCUUGCUAGGCCUGCUAGUGGGGCGGCGGCAAAUGGGGAUUUCGGGUCGGGUUCUUGCGUGGAGGUUCGUUUGCAUGGGUAGUAGCGGUAUUAGAGGUCAGCAGGUCGGGGCGGAGUGGGUCUGCUACAUUUGCGGGUUGGGGUGGGUUAGAACGGAUUUUGUUGACCUCGCGCAGCGGCUCACGAGGCACGGGGCACCUCGUGUCGACGCGUCCUUGCGCCCGCAAGAAGAAGGCGACACCACCGCCCGCCGCCGUCGCCACCACCCCUCCCGUGCGAGGUCCUCCUCUGAAGGCCACGGAUCGAGGUACUCCUUUUUCUCUCGGAACCACACCGGCAACAAUCAAGGUUGCGCCAACAGAUCCCGUUCCAGGAACCACACCGGCAUCAGGUCCCUUCGAGAAGUCAAGGUGUGCCUCCUUCCCUUUUCUCUCCAAUUCACUACGAUCUGUUUCUCUCCAACGGAAUGCAAAAUAUGUGUGUAUCUGCUCUAUUUCCAAUUCAAUACGAAUGGUCAAAUGCAAGUUAAUGAAGAAAAUUGGAUACUGUGCAUUCGACAAUCUUGCAAAAUAUGUGUGUAUCUGCUCAUCUGAUUUACACUUCUCAAAAGGUUUAGGUUGUUGUCACUGUUAGUGUUACUCUCAAUGAAAGAUUAUGGAUAUACAUUGUCAAAUAGUCAGCAGUUUACAGCAGAAGUAAAUCGGUGUGUUCUCUCUAAAUUAUUGGCUUGUAUAAAUAGGAUUAGUAUAGAAAUAGAAUAGCAUGACCUGACAUAAUUAUCCUUAUCUGUGUGCAGCCCAGGAGGGAGUUAGGGAACUUUGAGAAGCUCAAAUGGAUCCUAAAGGUACCCAACUAAUAUGAUAUUCUAUCAAUUGGGUGUUAUGAUCACUGAAAGUCUAAUGAACUAAUCAUGUAGCUAGGAUCAUCGCUGGUUAAUUUAUCAACUAAUCUGUAUAGUCUGAUGAACUAAUCAUGUAGCUAGGAUCAGCUUCUGCAGCUAAAAAAGUGCCUGUUAAGCCCCCGUUAGCAGGCCGAUAUGCCUGUGAAGUUUCUCAGUUGUGGUCAUGUCUAUUAUUUUUGGAUGUCGAUGGCAUUUGUUUUUGUUUCCGGAAAAGAUGUGCGCAGGACUACCAAUCUACAAGACUGUCACUUGGCAAUUGUUUUUGUUUUCGGAAAAGGAGGAUUUGGCUAUCUAAAGAAAUAUUUGUCUUGUCUUACACGAACUGCUACUAGGAUGCUGUCCGGAAAUACAUGUGUAGUGAUCCUGGCUAGUAGUUUCAGUUCACUGACAUGGUGUUUCAGUUCCAUCUCUGAAUCUUUUUGCAACAUUUCAGUCAUCUCUGAAUAUUUACUGCAGUGGUGCACUAACAUGCUGCACAUGUUAUACAUUUCCAGUAAUCCAAAAGAGUUGACAAUAUUUUCUGCAUCUUGCAUAUAUCUGUCUGCAUGUCAUUGUUGUUAGUUUUUCUAAAUAAUAUGCUGGAUUUUUCUGUGUUUUCCUUUGCAUCUGCAGCCACCUGACAUAAUUAUGUUUCUGUCAUUGUUUGUGUGCAUUCCAGGAGGAGGAGUUUGAAGAAGCUCAAAUAGCUCUUAAAGGUACACAAAUAAUGUCCUGUGUGGAGUUGCUUAGUUAGCAGUCUGCUAUUGUUUUCUGUUUCACAAAUAAUCCAAUAUGAAACUAUCAUACAACAUAUUGUGUUCCAUACUGAAUCUUUUCCUUUCAUUUUUUUAGAUCACUGAUUGAAGAAACUUUGCCUCUGUCUCUACAAAUGUUCCAACAGCAAAAUUGGGGAACUUGGAUUAUGAAUAUUUUUGUUUAUGUACACUAGACAUUGAGUUCAAUUUGGAUGUUUAUUUAUGAGUCUGCCCAUGUCGUACUGUCAUGUGUCUUCCAUGCAUGUUAUCAUCUUUGUGCUUGCGCUCUCUUGUGUUCAUAUGUUCGCAAUGUGAUAUUGCACUUGCACGAGUUGUAUGUAUCUCCUGCGUAUUCCGAGUCUUGAGAUGUGAAAAUCGCAGUUUCUUAACAGUGCUAGUGGAACGGUGCUAGUGCAGGUGCUGCAAGCAAAAGGGCACCAAGCAACUGCAACCUAUUGCACCCGUGCUCGGUGGGGCGGGGUGGGGUGGGUAGACUAGUUAAAUAUAUGGGGCGGGGUGGGUCAGCAGAAUUGCCUUAUUAGGUGUGGCCCCCAUUAGCAGGCCUAGUUCUUGCGCGAUGGACCAUCUACAUGCAUAGUAGCACUGUGCUACUGUAUACAUAGCACGUAAACAUGUAUAAGACACAAACACCUCUCUCAGACACAUAGAUUUGAUUAGCGACCUAAUCAGGUGUUGAAAUUUUGUUUAUGAGUUUUAAUGCUCAAUAGUUGAACUCAAGUAAGCUCAACUAAUAACACGGGUGUCACUAAUAGAGAACUGACCUUUCAUCUACCUGCUUUUGUCCCGGUUAAUAUUUGUCCGGGAUAAAAGUAGCUUUAGUCCCGGGUCAAAAAUGUGCCCCCGAAGGCUACCACGGGGGGGGGGGGGGGGUCACAACCGGGACUAAAGACUCCCCUUUUAUCCCGGUUAAAGGGUCCAACCCUUUUGUCCCGGUUGGUUGGAAUUACCAACCGCGACAAAAGGGGGGGCCUUUUGUCCUGGUUGGUAAUUCCAACCGAGAUAAAAGGGGGGUCUUUUGUCCCGGUUGGAAACUCCAACUGGGAUAAAGGGGGGCUUUUAUCCCGGUUGGAAACUCCAACCGGGAUAAAACGCCCUCCCAUGCGCCCCCUCCCCACAUUAACUUGUCUCUCUCCUUUAAUUUUUCCUUCUCUCUCUCUCCUCCUUAUCUUCUCCACCACAGAUGCCUCCCCCUCACGCACAGUUCUCCUCUCCCUCUCCUCCUACUCCUUUCCCUCCCCGCCCUCCCUUCCUCUCCCGGCCCCUCCCCUCCCUCCCUUCCUCUCCCGACCCUCCCCUUCUGUUGCUCCUUUCCUUCCCCCUCUGUUGAUCCUUCCCUUCCCCCUCUGCUCGCCCCUCACUGGCAGUGAGGAGCGGCAGCGGGGCGAGGGCAGGGCGCGGCGUAGAGGUGGGGCGGCCGCCGGUGGUAAGGAUGGCAACGGGGCAGCUUCGGAUCGGGUGGAGUGUCUGAGCACCCAAAACCGAAACCCGAACCUAAAACUUGAAUCCACACCGAACACCGAUUCGGGUAAAAAUCCAUCCCUGAAACCGAAACCCGCAGAUACCCGAAACCUGAGAAUACACAUUGCUUGCAAAACCUACAGAUCAAAUUCGCCCCCUCUCUUCCGUGGGGAGAUCUGGCGACGGCGAUGCCACUGGGGGAUGGUGCAGCGGGGAUGGGAGCGGGGGACUUCGUGCUGCCGGACGAGGUUCUGGCGACCUGUACGAGCAGCUAGGUGCGGCGUGUGGGAGUCACGACCUGGAGGAAAGCAUCGAGCAGCCGAGCAAGAAGAUGGCAGCCAGGGCCAUGGUGGAGCGCCGGGAGGCGAGAAGGAGGCCAAGCCUCGAGCAGCUCAUCAGGAUGGAGACAGCGCCACUACCGCUGUCGUCACGUCCAGGCCGCAGGAGCAAACUAGAUACGACAUCCGAGGUCUCCAUUCGCACCACCGCGAAGGAGAAGCACACGCAGGAGGCAGGCGUGGCUGGGUGUGACCUGCGGCGUGCCACGUGAAGGAGACCAGGAGUCGCGGCCUCACGGGACGGCGGGAUGAAGGGGGUGCCUGGGUGCGGGACGGACUGACGGAGGGCCUUAUGUACCUAGGUUUGCUAGGUGGGUUUUUAGUGGACUCAAUAUUUCAGGGCCCCGAUGGAGCUCCACUGGUGGAUUUAAAAAUCCACACCAAACCCGCAGUAUUUUGGGUAUCCGAACCUGAAAAACUGUGGGCGAAAACUAGAAACCAAAACCUGCGGACCCGAAACCCGCAGAUAUCUGCCCCAAACCCGAUCCGCUACCAUCCUUAGCCGGCGGGCAGUCGCACGAGCGGAGGUCAGGCGGCGGCCGGCGGCGGAGGUGGGCCGGUCUGGGAGGCGCGGGGAGGAGCCGCUGGCGGGGAGGAGGAGGCUGGGGAGGAGCGGCAUGGUGCGGCUGGCGGGGAGGAGGCCGGCGGGGUGGAGGGUGGAGGCGAGUGGCGUGGGGGAGGACGCAGCCGGCGGAGCUGGCGCGGGCGGUGCACGGGCGGCGGAGGCCGGUGGUGCGGGAGCCGAGGCAGGCCUCCACCCGUCGGUCCUUUUUUUUUGAAAAACUCUUUUGUCCUUAUUGGUAAAACCAACCGGGACUAAAGGGUGUCUUUGGUCCUGGUUGAGCGAUCCGGGAUUAAAGAUCCUUCCUUCUGUCUCGAUUGUUUUAUUCCGGAUGGAUUUCGGAAGAUUUGACCCCUACCAACCGGGAUUAAAGGCGAGUUUUCUACCAGUGUGUGUUCGGUGGUCACGCGCAGAAAUGAGGUGCCAUAUAUCGUCUGAACAAUGUGUGAAUGCAGCCUUCGACAAUAUAAACUAAAUAGCAGUAUAUAUAGUAGACGUAUAUAUGAUUUAGGUAAUGCUGGCAAUGUGUGAAUGCACAAUUUGAGAUACACCGGCACGGUCCCUACUGCAUAUUUCUGCAACUUCAUUCACUGGUUGUCCGCAUAAAAAGUUGGUUUGGUUGCAUAGAGCAAGAAGAACGUAACUGAAAUUUGAGUAAUCAGAUGGAUGUAAAGAAAAUGGGAAUCAGAUAGGUUGGGUGUCAAUUCAUACGGACGCACGGGUUUCUAGGAGCAGAUUAUGUGUGAAAUUAAUAAAGUACCAGUCCCGCUUUGCUGGCUGCUGCUUUCACGAGAUACUAGAUAUUCAGGAGAUCUUAAUAUUUUAUUUGGUAACAUGAAAGUACAACGUUGACUAGCUAGGUUCCAACUACGACGCAGGUAGCCAUUUCUUUUGGACUUUGAACACGAAUUAAGCCAAGAAAGUACAGGUCGCAAUUAAUCAAAGAGACAUUAUGAAUGGCAAAGCUGCUGAUGAGAUGGUAGCAACGAGAUGCAAGGGCUUGGUAAGUUCAGUUUAGUUUACCUGUUGGUGCUGCUGGGCUUGGAUGAGCUGAUGGUACAGCGCGCUGUGGCUGCGGGUGAGGUCGUCCAGCAUCCGCCGCAGCCGCCGGUUCUCCUCGCCGGCCUGCCGGAGCUCCCCCUCCACCGUCGCCACAGCCAUCUGCAGGCAUAUAUAUGUGUAAAGAGGAUCAACAUGUGUGUGUAGUACAACGAUAUAUAUAUAUAUAUAUAAUUCUGAUAUGAUGUGGAAGAACAUUAAGGGAGAAGCCUACCUGUUUAUUAUGAUCACUCGCUGCUCCGGCCGCCGCCCCCUCGCCGGCGUUGACCGGCGUCGCCGCCGCCGCCGUGGUCAGCAGGUCAAGAGCAGUCUGCAAGAACCCAAGGACACGCAAACCGGCACCAAAAAAAAAUCAAGCUCAUACAUGUAUCGAUCUAAUGGCCGUCUUAAUUACGCACGCAGACAUCAAUCUCAAGCUCAUCUGGAUCGGAGACUUACGUUGACCGUGGUAUUACCGCGUCCUAGUGCUCCUGCCUCUCGGCUUCUUCCAUCCCUACCGUUGCCGUCAUCGUCGUUCCGACGGUGAGCGCCGCCGGUGGAGAAGAAGUCGACCUCCUUGAUCUCGCUCCUGCGCCUGCCGCCGCCGGCGUGGCCGAAGGCCUGGUCUCCAUGCUCCGCCAAGAUCAUGGCCUCCUCCUUAUCUUCCUCCUCCUUGUGCUGCUCUUGCUUUGGCACCAAGUCCAUGGAUGGAUUGGAGGUAUCAAGCCGGAGAAUGGAGAGGACGAGAAGGCUAUAUACAAUUUUUGUGGCUUGUGGCCGUACUAGCUAGCUACAAGCUAGGGAAGAGAGAGAAAGAGACGAUGAGAUAGCGAAAGAGACGAUGAGAGAGAGAGAGAGAGAGAGAGAGAGAGAGAGAGAUGCCCAACUGUGCAAGCUACAAAAGAAGCACGUAACGUGAAACGGAAAGACUUGGACUUUGGACUUGCGAAUGGAGACGGGACGGCAGGAGGAGUUGGACCAAUGGGAGGGGGUUGGAACUGGUGGGCCAGCCCCGUGGCGUCAGCGUGAGAGGUGGCUGAGGCUGGAGGCCACGCAGUCCACGUGUCGCUGCGCGUGGGCCGUGUCAAUGGGGUCAACGGAUGCUGUGUUUUGCGACUCGGGGAGUGGCAGAGAGGAGGCCACGACCCAUGCAUCUCGAUCUGUCAACAUUUUCAACUUAUACUGGUUGGGUUUUUGUACAGCUUGUGUCCUUUUUAUACAUAUUGGCAAUUGAAAUUUAGGUCUCUUGACAACUCGAUCAUGGUGUGGAUUCAAUACAAGCUCCAUGGAGUGCGGUCUCUAAAAGCCGUUUGCUGAGGGCACAGAUCUUGGUUUGAUACGCUAAUCCUCAAAUAAAGCAUUUUCAAGAUUUUGGUGUCAAAGCUCAUAUAAGAGAAGGAUUUUUAGGGUUUUGUUCCAUCGUCACAAACUCAUCGCACAUAUUGGUUAAUUUGGAGAGCAGAAAUUAAACCAAAUAGUGAGUACUGAGUAGCUAGCUACCACUAGUAUUUCUCCCGUCCCACUUCGAGACCAAUUGAUUUUGUUGUAGGCUAGCAAUGCAGUUGGCUCUAUGUCCAUGUGCUCGUAAAGACAACCCAACGUCAUCAUUAUAUUGGUUUGUAAAAAGGCCACCUGUAUGUAGUUUCACAUUUAUACUUGCCAGACAAAAUAGAGGUGGACUUAUAUAGUGACACACAUAUUUUUCAGCCAUCACGACUAUCUAUCUAUCAUCUUAAUACAAUAGUGUUAAAAGAAGUCACCACGUUCGCCGAGAGGGUCUAGAAAUUUCCACGUUAAUCGAAAAAGAGAAGAAUAUGCAUCGUUGGAUUGAAAAUCUAACUGUCUUAGAUUAACUCAAAGAGUCCAUGUGGGAUACAAUUAAUUAGAGAUAUAUAUAUUAAAUUGCUAUAAUCGAAAACACAUGGAGAUACAAGUCUUUAUUGAUUUAAUUUUGGUUCUUCUCUAUUAGGAAAUAAACUUUCCAAAAAAAAAACCUCGCCACUUAUGCAAGGAAAGAAAGCAAAAGAAACACUUCUUAUGCGGUACAGUAGUCAUCUAACUCGCCGGUCGCCGCGAUCGUCCAAGGCGAUCAACUUCGGCGUCCUUCGCACAAGCCUACCCGAUCGAUGAUCACGCAAGGCCGUGUCCUUGAGGCUGCCGAGACGCACUACCUAUGCACGGUCGCCACUCUCUCCGUAUCGUGACAACCGCCUCCAAAGCACUCCCGUCGAUGCUGCUCCACCGGCUGUCUCCUACAACGAUGCUCCACUGACAACGAAAACUCCGUGGAAGGAUAUAUGCAAAUCUAAAAACGAGGGCUUCAAAAUAUUAGCGUUGGCAUGCUGUCCUUGGCGUUGUAUGUGAUACUAGCAAAUAAAAGCAAUGGAAGUGCUGUGGAGAUGGAUAAUUCUGGUAAAGAAAGCGGUAUUUAAGCACUAACAAGCUGGAAACAGCAGAGUAAGAGACUGCCCACUCGAGUAGAUGGCUACAUUGACAAGUUCUACUUCUCGAACUAAAACAAAUGGGCUUCUAUGGCAAGAAAUUUAGGGGACGAGGACGUCCCAACUGGAUGUGACUGGGCAAAUUUAUUCUGAGAAAGAUAUAAUAUGAGCAACAAUCGGAAAGAUACGUAAGAAACAAUUCAUCAUUGAUUAUCUAGAAAUAAGACAAUAUCUUAAGAAAAUAUUCAGGCACUCUAUAUAUCGUGAUGAGUUGAUAUAUAUGAUAGUCAUAGAAGUAAACUAUAAGUGAUCUAUUACUCCUUUUUCGAAAGGUCACCUAUUAUGUCAAUAUUGUUGUAGGUAGAAGCCACCACGUGUACUCUUAAGGGUUUGAAAUUUCCAAGUUAAUUUGAAAAAUAAAAGAACCUAAAAUGUUGGAUUUUAUGAUCAUCUAACUGCCUACGACAAAUAAAGUUGAUUAAACCAAAUUUUUAUGAAGAUCUUCAUAAAGGACCUUUGGUUUAAUCUAAUUUCUAAUUCCAUAUUUAAGUGAUAUAUUAAUGGAUUUGAUAUGGACCUUUGGUUUAAUCUAACUGCCUACUCCUAAGUUAUAUAUUAUGUCUUCAUAUUUCCAAGUUUAUGAAGAUCUAACGGUCUAGAUUAAUCUAAAGAGACCAUAUCGUAUAAGACAGAUAAAUAUUUAAAUUCAAAAUUAAAAAUAUUAUCUACGAAAUAUGAUAUGGGAUGGUUUUAAACCUACAUGGACUCAACCUGCUACAUUGAUAAGAUAUUGCAGGGAUGGGAAAAAAAUGUGUUUGGAAAUAAAUCAUAUCUCAAUUAGAGAAGAAUCGGAGUAAUAAAACAAAUUUCUAAAUAUUUUUUAUUUGUUUUUGCGUACGUAUCGCAUCCUUGCAUGAUUGAGGCAUUCCAAUCUAUUCUUUUUACUUCUACAUACCAAACACCUUUUCUUUUUUAGCAAACCAAAACAAAAAAUAAACUAGCCGCAAGCAAUUUUUCUUAUUUCUCUAUUUUCUCUUGCAUUGUCCUUCACUAUAAUCUAUUAUUAUCUCAAUACCCUAGCGUGAAGAGGCCAUCAUGUUCACCAAGAGGAUUAAGAAAUUAUUAUAUUAAUAAAAUAUAAUAUAUAGAUAAUUGGAUUUUAUGGUUGUAGUGCUUAGUAUUAGAGAAGAGAACCCAUGUACCAAACUCAUUCAAUUUUAAGGCAAAUAGGCCAUGUAGCUAUUGCGACGAUACCAUACCCAACUCCUUGUGGACUUUAGUCGGCAUCUUAGGGCUGCAAGAUAGAAGAGCGGAGGCAUAUACGUCGGACGACACCAGAGGCAUAGUGCAUAAAUUGAACAACGGAAGUGUGGAUGUCGAUAGCAACAACUUGCACCACGAACGUGUGCUAACUUCAUGCAACACUGAGGGCCAGAACCUCCUGAUGGACUUUAGUCGCUAGCUUAGGGCCGUGAGAUAGUACGUCAGGUGAAGCAAAAGCAUAGUGCAUAAAUUGAACACCAGAAGCAUGGAUGUUGGCAGCAACAACUUGCACCAUGGAUGCUUGCUUUUUUUUAAGCCUCUCAUCUAGGUACAACUAUAGUAUCUGUUCAUGGAUGCUUGCUAACUUCAUACAACAUACAAAGCUAGAAUAUGCAAAGCCACUUAUUUGCAAGUAACUAAAAACCAUGGUGCACAUGAAAUAUUAGAAGGAGAAAGAAACAAAUAAUGGAUCCUAGAGACAAAAUCACCGUGAAAGAGGGCCUGCACACAAUAGCGAUAGCGAGGAAUCCACAUGGACAUAUAUAAGGAUAUGUGAGAAUAAGAACCCUUGAGAAACAUGGUGGCCGCCCGAUAAUGAGGUCACCACACAUGACCUGACACAAUUCUCAUCACGACAACCAUAAUCACUAGAGGCAACUAGAGAGAGAGGUAGGAAGAUAGAGGGAGGGAGGGGGAGAGAGAGGGAGUGGGGGAGGGGGAGGGGGAGAGAGAAAGAGCUUAUAUUCAAUCAAUGUUGUUGGCUACUGCCGACCUCCAUAGCUACUGGCGAGUAGGGCUAGCAGUCAGAGCCAUACUAAUCGGUGUAAAUUCGCACCCGCCUAAUGGUCGUAUAUCCUCCAAAAUUCAACAAUCGUAGUUGUUGCUGAUGAUCAGAAUAGGGUGAUAGUGGGAGACAUAGAGAACACCAUGUGGAUGGAGUAGCUAUUGGAUCCCGUAGCAGAGCAAUAGAUCUGGUACAUGAUGGGGCAACUUGAGGGUAGGGGCAGCCACAAGGUGGACAUUCAAAAUGUGGGAGAGGGACGUGGAGGAUAAAGGGAGCGAGACAACCAAUGUAUGCAAGGGCUUAUGAGACAUCGUCAUGUACAAGAGGGUAGGAUGUUUGAAGAGUAUCUUGGCCCCCUUAAGUGGGUUUUGAUGAUUUAAUGAUGCAAGCUUAAGUGUCUAACAAAGCUUCAAGUGCAUAAGCAGGUUUAAAAGGAUUAUUGGUCAUGAAGCACUUGUGAUGGACCCCUCAAAAGGAAAUGAAAUUAUUAAAUGGCAUAUUCUCAAGUCUAAAUUUAUUUUCGGUUUGAAUUUGAGUAUAGGAAUGCCGCACUAUUAAGACGGAUGCAUGAUCUCUGGUCUUUACAUUUGAAAAGUGCUCAAAAUGACCUAACAAACCUAUUAGAGACACCCUUUGCACUUGCACAUCACAUGGGGAUAGUUAGUGGUGCUAACCUGAGAGUUCUGGAAUUUUUCAGAGGUUUUUCUGGAAUAUUUCGGAGAUUCAGAGUUUCUGGAGGUCCGGAUUUUUCCGGAAAGUUUUCUGAAAAAUUCCGAAGGUUCCGGAAGUUUUCGAAGAAAGUUUCGAAAAUUUCUGGAACUUAACCCCCAACGGCUAGUUUUGGGAUGAAGGGGUAUAAAUACCCCCUCACCCUCUCCCAUUCACUCUCCCUUGCCUCCUCACUGUCCUAAAAGCUCAGAAAGCAUUCACUCCCCUCUUGGCCUUAGGUGAAGAUUUGGUGGGGGAUUUAAGGAGGGAUUCUUGAGAGAGCAAGGGAGUGUGCUAGUGAGCUGAAACUCCAUCUCUUGAGCACCUUUGUUCUUCGUCAAGCUAGCAUUCCGCAUUUGUUACUCUUGGAGCUUCAAGCUCCUAGCCGGCUAGGCGUUGCCCAGUUGAGCAUCCAAGCUUUGUGGCUGCCUCGGGAAGUUUGUAUUGCCCCGACGAUUGAGUAAGUGACUCUACCUCGAUCUUUGUGGUCACUAGAGGGAGGAAAGUGGCUUAGGAGUGAAAAGCUCACCCUUCGUGGGUCCUCAAAGGAGACAUAGGCUUCAAGGUGUGAAGCUGAACUUCAGAAAAUAAAUUCUUGUGUCUCUUGUGCUUGUUGUUCUUAAUUUCGUUCAUAUUCAAGCAUAGAAUAUUUUUCUAGGGUUCGUACUCGAUCUACUUUUCUAGCAAGUUUGGAGCUGUGCUAUCUUGUGUCAAAGGCUUAGAAUAACUUGUUGAACAACCUAUAUUCGUUGAUCUACUUUUCAGUAAGUUUAUCUUGAGGUUGUAGUUGAUUUCUAUCAAAGUCUGGAAAUAUACGAAGAUUUCUUCAGAAAUUUCCGAAGGUUCAGAAAUUUCUGGAACAAUCUCUAGAAAUUUCUGGAAGUUGCUGAUAAGUUUGUUCAAAAGUGUAAAAAUUUUCAAGUUCGACUAUUCACCCCCUCUAGUCGACAUCCUAGAUCCUUUCAAUAUUGCAGUUGAUGGUGUCGUGGAGAUGAGAUGCCACAUAGAGGAGGUGUGCAACCACAUCCACGUGCAUGGACGACGAGAUGAGACACGUGGACAUAUAAAUAGAUAGAUACCUGAAUUUGGCAGCAAGAAGCAGCUUGAAAGUGUCAAAGUUGUGGCUUUCACCGAUUGCCUUAACACUACUAAAAAAGAUUUUGUCGUGCCAGUUGAAACAUCAUUUACAGGGGUGGGUGCACGGCCCACUUCUGCUUUUUGCAGCUAAAAAUAUCUGUUUGCAGCAACGGACCAUUGACCGUCCCUCCUAAAACCAUUUUUAGGACGGAUCACUCCAUGGAUCGGCCAUGCACAUGAUUCUUCAGGGACGGGCCAGAAGCUAUAUCAACCUCUCCUUUUUUAGGAGUGGGUGAACUUAUUUGCAUCCAUUUAUUUUGAAAUAAUACAUCCAAAUAUUGGAUCAAAUCUUACUACCCGCGUAAAUAAAUAUAUUUUAGCAAAAAUGUAUAAAUAUUUAUAUUACUUCAGUAAAUAUCAAAAAGAUUUUUAUAUCAUAUAGCCCUUUUCUCCUGAAAGACACGCAUUGAGAAUAUGAAAAUUAAAAAACAUAGAUGAUAGCUUAGUCAGCUACAAUGACACGAUUAACACAAAUAUUUAUAUCUCUUUAUUUUAAAAUAAAAUAUAAAAAAAUAGCAUAAAAAAUCUAGCUACCCACGCUAUUUGUGCGGGCCACCUUGCUAGUUAUACAUUAUCUAGCCGUAGCAAAUUUGUGGAGAAUUGAGAAAGAAACACAAGGAAGACCGAGAUAGCCGGCCAUUGGGGCUGGCUUGAUUAACUAGCUGGUCAAUGGCCACCAUCAGCUACUUGACAAUGUGCAUAAUCAAACAGGAUCGGACGGACCCUUUCAACGUAGACUUAACAUGCAAAAAUCCGCUAGAGUUGGCUUAUUCCUACAAGCCACCUAGAUGCUGUUUCCUUGGUCGAUUACCAUGUGAAUGCCUGAGAUUAGCGAAUAAACGGUAGCUUGUACAUUCUCCAUCCACGCACGUUGACAAUGUAGCCGUCGACGUACUUGUCUGCUAGCUAAUCUUAUGGUUAUUUAAAUUUCUAUCCCUGGGGAGUAUGUAUGAACCAAACCCUAUAAUGCUUAUUAUGUUACAUGCAAAAUAUCUGAGUUUUUAGGCAAACUGGUUGACCCCAACUUUUCUCCCAAGUUCCGGCGCCAUUAUUCUAAAAGAGCAAAACCUAGCCUCCCCGUGGCCCCCACCACCCCAACAAUACCUCAUGUCCAAUUUCCUUGGGUUCAGUUGUAUGGAAACCGAUUUUUUGCAAUUGGUUGUACCCCCUUUUCUAGGCUGUGCCAAGCUGUCAGGGAAACUAACUCAAUUUACCUACUAUAUUGAACCAUGAAAACUUCCAAGGAAAAGGUUAUAUAUCCUAGAGGCUGACUGGCAAAGAUAUUCCCUGAAUAAUAACCUAGUUUCCUUGACGUGGCUGCCCGGAAAAGCCGUCAAGAAAAUUUCCGUUAGUGACCAGCACCAAGAAAACUAAAUUUCAUUGCCCCUCUAUCGAUCCGUGAGGGUAUUUGCUUGCUUGGCUUCCAUGUGAAAACUUUCUUUGGCAGUUUUGCUAACAUACGUGGCAGGUUUUUACCCUCACCAAAAAAAAAUAUUUAUGUUUCCUGGUAGUGCCUAAACGGAGAGGCAGCAUGUAAUUGGCAACACAAUGCAACUUGAACUUUUCUAGAUCAACCACCCGUGUAUUAUUCUACCUUACGAGAGGAAUUUCGUGUGGUAGCUACUCCAGAGAAAGAAAAUAACUCCUUCUCAUCUGUUUCGUGAGGGGAGUGUUGGUUUCGAGCAACCUCUCCACCGAACAAUUAAAUGAAAAAAAGAUACACCAAUUAACAACGACACUGCAAAGCAAAGGUGUAAUAUGUAGGAGGUGCCACCCAAUUUAUAUGUAGGAGGUUUCAUUUCGUAUCCCCAAAAUGCACGUGUUUACCUACUAUAUAUUCUUGGAAUAUACCUUAGAAAAAGGUAAAAAAUGUGUACAAAUUCGACUUGUAUUCCUCUAUAGGGACACGUCUUUCACGCCACUCCCUGGUGACCUUCAGCGCCGCCGACAACUUCAUCAUCUCCAGCACCUCAACCAUGGCGUUAGGUUAUUCCCUUACAAAGGUGGUGUGGGCAUCUGCCUGGGUCAGCUAUUCGCCCAUUACCUGUAACGCCUUGCACACAGAAGAAGGAACAAAACACACAUAGUCGUAUGUACGAAGGUAAUUGGGAUGCGCCUACGAAGGUUAACUACAAUGGCAAUGGUUGCCUAAGAAGGUAAUUGACCUGCGCCGAUCCAAUCCAAUGAGCGAUUGUGCGGUCUUAUUAGUUGUCUCCCUGUUGCGCGAAAAUGAAAACCAUGGAAAAAGGCGCUCGACUGCAACCUUAUGGUUAAGAAUUUGCAAGUAGUAGCUAAUAAGAAUGCAAACAUGGGUAUACAUGAGCGUGAUCAAACUUACCUUUGCAGUAUAUAUACUAUAAAAGUUGACAUAAAGUGUACCACCAUGGUCACUAAUUUCCAAACUUUCAUGUCACGUGAUGCACGAUUGUAAUGCAUCCAAUGAAACUAUAAGUUGACAAGUGGUGGCAAAUUAUCUGCAGAUCCUGGUCGCAACAAAAUAUUGAGAAACACAGAUUCAUAUAUUAUAUAUCCACAUGAACAAGACUUUUUCGGCAAACCACUCUAGCCAGCAUUUCCUGCUAUAUCUAGUGUAAAAAGGGGCUCGAAUUAGGCAAAGGUGGUAAAGAAAUUCAAGUACGGAGAGAUCUGAUCUGCGCAGAAUUGUCGUCCUCCAAGAUCAAGCCCUAACUAGCCUCUAACAAGUCCAAGCUAAGCGGCGAAUGAAGUCAAGAGUGCAAGCAAGACGUCUUCUGCCUCAUGCAGCAUGUGCUUUAUUAUAUGCAGGCUACAGUUGUUUAUAGUUUCAAAAGGAAUGCCUGCCGGAGAUGUAGUAUGGUCAUCGAUCCAGAACCAGAACCAUACAAGGGCAUGAGACACGGGAAGGAUCAACCGAGGUCGUCGCGAGGUCGCAAACGACGACGGAAUUGGGGUCAAUAACAAGAAGCUAAGUAACCACACAUGCUGCCAGGGAAAGAGAAAGGCAUAAAGGAGGGGAGGGCCCUAAAGGUGAAAGCAACAGGAGGCCUGGCCGGGAGAAAAAGGUGAUGGACAUGUGCAUGAGCACGACGUGUUGACAUGCACGUACGUGGAGAGAGAAAGCUUUAGAACUGAAAGGGAUCAACAAGCCAAGAACGAAGCUGCAAGAGGAGAGACCAAAACGUCCACCAAAGGUAGGUAGAGCUUCAGCCGGUAAAAGAUAGCGGCGCCCUGGCUUGCACUCCGGAGCCUGGACUUGGGCUGGUACUCGCAAUCAAGUUGCAACUGGUAGAUGUGGAUGCAAGAGGGUAAUAUCUCGAUCCGGUGAAAAAGCCAAAGGGAGAGAGACUUGUGUGGACCUAAGCUCUAGCGGUGGCGAUUGAGACUUUUGAGAAGGAAAUUAAGCUUUGGCUUAACUCUUAAGCGAGAGGGACCCAUAACUCACUAUUUCAACGACUUAAACGUUGCCGGCCAAAUUAAAGGACAUCGAGGUGGUGCAUUGGAAGGAUCAGCUAGUUAGUUAUAGAGAGCUAGGUGGUAUGUAUCUUUUGAUUUCAUCCAAGUUACUAGUUGGGAGAGCGACUAGCCGCGGUCGGACGUGGAAGUCUGGCGUAGGAUGGAUCCGCGCUGGGUACGUAGUACAUAUAUUUGAUUGUGAUCUCCAAAUCAAGUGCAUUCAACUCAAAAUUUUAAGCUGAUGUACUUUCCCUGAGGCUUCAAACGUGGAAAUAGAAGUUAGCUACAAUUAUUUUAUUUAAUCGUUCCCUUUUAGAUUCGAACUUUGGAGUACGGCUGUUGAAGCAGGACUGGGUGGGAGCAUCAGGGCCGAUGAAGAGGUAAGUGUGGCAGUGGGAAGCGACGGUGAUUACUCACCUAUAAUUGUGAUAACUUCCCAAUAAUUGUGUUUUGUAGAAAAAAAAUACUCACCUCUUCUUUUAUCUAAAUAUUUUAAAUUAACCCCUAAGUCUACAUCUAAAUUACUCGCCUAUGUUCUUAUAAAAAUAGUAUGAAGUAAUAAUUAAGCACCAAAUUUGCAUGUAAAUAACUCACUUCCACCAUUAUUAAAAAUAACCUAAAGUAAUUCCCUAUAUUUGCAUCCAAAUUACUUUCCUAUGUCAUUAUCAAAAAACAUCCCAAAGUACUCGUAUAUAUGCUUUUAAAAUUAUCCCCUUUUGAUAAUGUUAAUAAGGAGAAAACUACCCCAAUGUGUAGAUGUAUGAUACACGUCACCAUGUAGGCCACAUGCCCGCGUACGUUAACUAUCAACAACAUAACUCAAAUAAUCAAAAUUUCAACUAAACAAAACAAACACUAAUAUAUAGAGAGGCGUUAUGCAAAGGGGGCAGUAACUAUGAAUGGGGUGGGAAAGCAUACAGAGUAAUUGUAACUAAAGUCUGUCACAGAUGGAUAGAGAUUACAUAGCAUACUUCUCUUGCGUAUGCUUACAUGUGUCUAAUCCAUAUUAUUGGCUCUAAAUUCUUAUUUAUUAGGACCCUUCUAUAAUUCCUACCUCAAACAACUUAGCUUUUGAUCUAGAUUCUAUAAUCCAAAUUGCUCAGACUCCACAACACACUCUUUCUGUCUUUCAUCGUUUCUUGUCAUGGCACAUGUCCCAGCAUCCCACCCCAUCGAGUCAACAUGCAAUGAGUCAAGUGAGGGAAAGAUGCCAUGAGCUUUCGGACCUUGGCUUACUUAUUUUGAGAAUUGCUAGCUAAAAGAAACAUAGCUUAAUAAAAAAUAAUACCAUCUAGCUAGGACUCUUGUACAUUUCGACGCAUACGUAGAUGGUGUGCAAUUAGUACUUCAGCGGAAAGGAUAAGCUGACGAAAGAACCGUAUACGAUACGGUUCACCUAAUUUUCUCCCUAUGAAAACUUGUUGUCUUGUUAAUAACAAAGUCUACUCCAUAUUUUGGCCGUAUACUAACUGGCAAUGCCGACUAGGUGGUGGCGCUGGAGAACAAUAAUAUUCUUCCGACGAAGAUUGACAGAGAACCUCCUGGCCGAGGCCGACCUUGACAUGUAUGAUGACCGCGCCGCGUACCAGGUCACGCGCGCCCAGAGAUGAUCAGGUCGUCGACGACGAUCGUCCGUCCAACCGUAUACAUCCAGAACCGGCGGAUAUUUCCGGUGGUCCAUCCAGUCCGGUGCGGUCACCGCCGUCGCCGUCGCCGGCUACUGGCGGCACGCAAAUGGACCGCGGGAUUAUCGGAAUCAGUUGAUCGGUCUCCAAGCUGGGAACGCGACGCCGUCGUGACUGACUGCUCGCGACGGGGGCUGAAAAACAUGGUGCUUGUUCCGGCACGGCGAUAGGUCAGGGCUCAGGAUUGGAACUUGGAAGAGGCGUCGUCAGCUAUUUCUUUCUAUUAGCUAGGACGACGAGAUAGAACGAGCGAAUUAGCUACGAGUACUGCUAGCUUAGCUACAGCUCAGGAUUGAAGCUUCCCAAUCGCCCACAUGGGUCGCGGUCGCUGUCGACCGGUGCUGCAGGCAAGUAUGCCGGCGUCCACGGCGUGAUCAUGCAUCCUCGUCUUCUCCAUCUCCUACGGUCCUAGCUACCCUCGAGCCUCCGGCUACAGUCGAGUUGUCAGAGUUUGUGGCUUGAUGUGGGCCAAUAACUCACUUCUUCUGCAAUAUAAUGCUGCCUCCAACUUUGACGAUCUUCCGCCGCCCCUGCAUUCUCGCGAUCCAUGAUCCCCGUGAACCACCGGCGGACGACGUACGGCAUCUCCGCUGCCGUCGGCCGUCUUCCUCGAUCUCUAACCCCAUCGUGGCUCCGCUAAUCCAAGCCUCUCUCAGGAUUGCCAACUGAUCGACUCUAGUGUCUGUAUCUCGUCACCGGUCACCGUACAUCCACGCACCAAUGAUCUAACAUGUGCAUUUCUUUUCUUUUUCUUUUCAGAUCUGCUACUGUAUGUAAGCCAGAAAGAACCCCAAGCGCUGCUGUAAGUCCUGACUUUUGCUCUCCACUUGCCACGGCCCACGGCCCAUCCGUUUCAUCGGCAAUUCUUUUCUUUUGAGAGAAAAAAAACUUUCAUCGGAAAUCGGAGCAAGAUUCGAGACACGCGAAAGGAAGCUCAUUACAGUUCCUGGCAACGCAAUGCAAACAACCGUGGGCGCAGACACAACUGAAUCGCAUGAAGUUGAAGAAGACACACUUACACGAGCAAGCAACGAAAAGCACACAAGAUACUGCACGGCCGCCUCAACAGCCAGAACUCAGAGACGAUCCUUGCAGUGCUGCUUGAGGCUGAUAUCCCCGCACACCUGCUCGAACGCCUCCGGGACGAAGAAGACGGACCUGCUCACGAUAGAUUCCUUCACGAACCCGCAGACGCACCUCUCCCCGGACGCCACGCUGCCCCUGACGGUCCCGCAGCAAUCUCUAGGGAACAGCUCGCGCAGGUCGUCGCCGCCCCGUGCAUCGGAGCUAGGAGAUCCCCGAUGCAGAAGCUCAGCUCCGCCAGCGUAGGAUCGCGGGACGGGUCGCAGCCGCCGCCGGAUCAGCUGGGACGACGGCCAGCAGCAGCGCCGGGAGGGAGAGGACGACGGCUACCGCCGGAUCCGACAAGGCCAGAAGCUGCCGCCAUGAGUGCCAGCCGGCCGAUCUCGCUUGAUCUCGCUGCUGGACUGGGGGCGAGUGUGGGUGAUCCAGCCGGUCGCUAGCCUCGUGCCCAUUGAAUUUAUAGACACAUACGGAUCUGUCCUGCACUGUAUGUAGUACAUACCUACAGCCUGUUGAUAAUAUUUUUGCGCUUGUUCAAUUCGAUGCGCGCCUUCCAUUGAUCGAAUCGGAUUCGGAUCCUCCAGCAUCCCAUCUCAUGUGCUGUGCCUGCCUGGCGUGCGCUGAACAAAGGAACAGGAACAGUGGCUUGCAUGUUGCAUAUUAGUAAGAGCGCCAGGCCGGAUUGCGCUGACCAAAAGCCAUCAUCGCCUCCGAUAAUUAUUUGUCAGUUCAGGUGUUUUAAACUGGACGGGUGUGAUCCGGAUAAUCUUCAGUAAUCCAGUAGAAUCAACUGAACCAUCUCCUCUUUGAAACGAACCAGGAAGAAGAACUACCAAUUAUAUUAAAAACAAGAUGAAACCCUAGACAAAACAACAAAUGGAAAAAAACAACGCAAACACCGGUAGGUUGGAUUUGGGCAUCAACACAUGCCGGACCACGCCAUCACACUUAACUCAACUCAACGACACAUCGGUCGGCAGGAUUGGGACAUCAACACAUGCCGAGCAUAACUCCUGCCGCUGUGCGGCCUCCUAACGCUCCACCCCGUCGGAUUAGGAUAUCGACACAAGCCUCAGCUAAACUCCACCCGAUCGGAUUGGGUCAUCGACAUGAGCCUCAGCUAAACUCCGCCCGGUCGGAUUGGAUCAUCGACAUGAACCUCAGCUAAACUCCACCCGGUCGGAUUGGGUCAUCGACACGAGCCUCCAUAAUCUCUACCUGGUCAGAUUAGGACGUCGACACCAGCCACCACAUAACCAAGAUCAUCGACUGGAUCCUCCUCUUUUUGAUCUUUUUUCUUUUUCUUUUGAAGAAAGCAGAAAGAGAGGAAAAGAAAGAAAAAGCCCCCUCGGUAACCUUACCGUCGAAGCAAACCUUUCUACUAGAAUUGCCUGACAUCGCGGUCACGACGCUGUAGACGUCGUCAAUACUAGCCCAAGCUCGGUUGGGUUUUCACCCACCUCAUCCGGCAGGAAAGGCCGGCGUCCAUGCCGACCUCACCAAACAGGAGCCAAGGUCCGCACGAGAGAUGCCCGACGUCGCUUUCAGGAAGGAUACGAUGCCAAUGGAGCCAUCGACGCCGUCCCAAGGAGGGUUAGGUUUUCACCCGCAUCGUCACAACAGUGCAAGAGACCGGCGCCUCUAGACCCACCACCAUGGUGAGCGCCUCUGCACGGCCGCAGCCAAUGAUACCACCAUGAUGGCGCUAGCAUGCGUCCGAGCAAGCCGUAGUCGGCCACACCACCCUGGUGUCGCCGACACACCACCACACCGGCCAAGCAGAUCGGAUCCGGGGCGGUCUGGUCGUUGGUGAUGGUGACCAAAGUGAGCAUCCCCACUGCCACCGGACAUAGCCGCUACCAUCUCCUGAUAGAGUUUUGACGAUUAGAUAAUGGAGGCUGAUGAUUAACGUAGAGUUGUUGUUGUGAUGUGGUACACAACCUCCAGGAAACAUCUCCACAAUUCUUUAGCAAAUACUGUAUGUUCAUAACCAUCAUUCGUAUCACAAGAGAAUUUUAACAAAAGUCUGCUCUGUAUCUUGUCCGUAUACCAACCGGCGAUGGCAACUGGGCUGAAGAGAACAAAUUUUCUUACGGUGAAGAUUUGACAAGCAGGAACUGGCCGACCUUGACAUGUUUGGUUUCGCCCCGUAUCAUGCAUGCGUGCAUGCAUUUUCUUACGCGAGACAGAGGCUCGAGAGCAUAGCUCUGCUCCAGCAGCUUCGUGUUUUUCAAUUUCUCAUCGGAGUCCCAUCACCUACCGACCCAUGCACGUUUUGCAGCUGCAGAGGUCUCCAUUUACCUUUCAUUAUUUCCAAUAAUUAUUGGAACAACUCAAUAAUUCACCCUAACUCUGAUUAUUGGGAGACUACAAAGUGAUAUUAGGAUAUCGGAAAACAUUUAUUGCGAGACUGAUGCUCUAACUGGGCCACCUAUUUCACCGCCGGGCUAAGUACGAAGCUGCAUUCGCGAAGGCCCAGACCACAAAAUCCAACAGCCCACGCAUAAACCGCAAGUUCCAUCCACUAUUCUGCGACGGCCCAUCCAACUCGGCCUCACACAACACAACCCACCCAUGAGCUCUCCACCUGCUCUCGUCUCUUCGCCGGCGGUGAGGCAGCUGCCGCCGUGGCGCCCUCUCCGCCGCCGUCUCGUCCCCAGACUUGCGUGCGCUUCCAGGACCUCCUGCGAGCUAGCACGUGGCGCCAGCGUGCGCUACCGCCAGCAGCCGGAGCCGCGCCUCGUGGCGGCGCAGUCGCAUCAUCCUCCCGCGCUUGCCGCCGUUGGCUCCGUCCGGAGGGACGCGGAGACGGGGCUCGCCCUACUCCUCCUCGUUCUCGCUGCGGUAUGACGCCUCUCCUUGUACCUGUAGCCUUUGGAUUUUGUUUUCGUUUUUUCGGUGCUGGGGAGUGGGGAGCGGUUGGUCCAGCAGUAAGCAGGCUGUUUGGUGCGAGCUCUUGGUUGGUUGAUAAAGAAACGAUUCUGUUUGUGAUACGUAGAUGUUAGGAAUAAAUUAUAUCAGUAAAUUUCAAGAUUGGCAAUAUCAAAGAGCAGGACAGGGUAAACGGCUACCGAUUUGUAACUGCUACGUGCACCUCAAGAGUCAAACUGUAUCUUUUGCCAGGAUAGAAAGAUAAGCGUGCAAGUUUACAGGAAUCAGUUCACUUCUUGCGGUAUGAACGGGGAAAAAUUCACGCCCCGGAAAUGGGCAACAAAUUUUAGGUUGGAGCUACAAAUUUUAAUCUCACUGUUGUUAUGAAUGGACGGUUCAAUUUUUGGGUGGUUUGUUCUAGUCACAAAUAGUCAUUAGUAACUGUAAAAGAAAGAGAAAUCAUCAUUUAAGUGAUUAGAGGAUAGCAAAAUGCAUGAUAGUGCUUGGUUAAAAUCAACUGUAGCUGCCGCAGCUGCCUGGACAGAACUUGAACCCAAUUUGAGUUGGGCAUUGUAAUUUCAUAUAAAUUCUGCAUUCAUCAUUAUCUACAAUAAAAUUUCAUCCUAAUCCUUGUGCAACCUGGAAUUUAGUCUACUCUGCUGACCCUAAUUUCAGGUGAUGAGCUGCUUUCUGUCACUGACUAUCUUAUCGUUUUCAGCAUGCAGAGUGAGUGAAUUAUCUAAAUAAUUAUAACUAUUUUUAUAAACAACGAGUAUGUGAAACAGAUUGCUUUUUCUUUUUUGAAUCAGGCUCUGCAUAAGUUGGAAACGGCAGCAAAUAAAUUGGCAAAGCUAGUUGCAGAAGAGGCACCUGGAACUCUAUCUUUACUAAAGCUGUCCUUCUUGGAGGUCAAUGAUUUAACUAGCCAGCUAAAGAACCUUAGGUAAUACAUUUGAUAAGCUCUCCAAAGUUUAGCUGCGGAAUGGUGUUUAUAUUGUUUCUCCUUUUGCUUCUAUGCAGGAAGAGUCUCACAAUAAGUAGAUUUGGGAAGCAGGCUAGUACUAAAGCAAGUUCUCGGACUUGAUGGCCUAAACAGGGAAAUACAUGAAUUAAUCUGCAAGUGAAAUGUCAGUCCCAAAUCCUGAGUUUAUUCUUCCUCCUUAAAUUCUUGAUGAAAUUAUACAUGCUUUCUCGCUGUAGUCCUGCACAUUUGCAUGAACAUGAAACAUCAUAAGCCUAUUGCAGUACCAAGUAGCUUCUGUUUAGGAAUUAUGCUGUGACGCAAGUAACAAAUUGUGCCCUGAGCCCAAAACUUUCCGCAAAGGAUUGACUUUGUUGACUAGGAGAUGUUUUGUUCCAUGUUUGUAAGAUGUGCGUAAUAUGUAAUAAACAUGCCUUUACAACUUUGAUGACAAUUUCUUGAGGCCUUCUUCAAAGCUCUUCAUCUUUGGUGGGGUCGAUAGGUUGGCUAAUAAGGUAACCCUUGCUGUUGAGACCAGAUCUUUGCACUCUGAUGUGGAAGGAUCUAUCCUCCAUAUCUGGACCUCCCAAACCUUCAAGAAUGCAGAAAAUUUUAGAUUGAACGUUUGAGCUUUACUAAGCCAGAAGUUGCACAAUAAUAGAUACCCAUACUCGAAAAGGGGGAAAAAAGAUAGUUGUACAACACUGGCAAGCUAUGUACAUAUUGGUUGUUGGUAGUGCCGCACACAUGACACAUGGCAGAGAUAGCUAAAACCUAGGCAUGGUCCCACAAAAACGACGACUGACAUACAUGUCGUUUCUGGUUAUUAUGUUUUUUCGGUAACAAUUUCUGCUAAUUAUUUUUUAAACAAUCUCUGCUAAUUAUCUUUGGUGGACAGUGCAAUUGAAGGGAUGGGAUUCUAGUUGUAGGAGCCCCAUACGGCACCUUCCCCCCUUGGACGAUGCUGCAAGUCAGAGGAGAUGGCGGCUAUGCAGAAAAGGCCCAACUUGUGCAGCCGGGGCGAACAUUUCCAACACUCCAGUCCAGAGUCCAUGCAGACCAAGCGGGUCGUGGUCGUGCUGCUGUAUAUUGUUUGCAAAAAACUGACAUGGAAAAGCCUGGUCUCCGUUUCAACUUUUGCCGCUAUAGUGGCCAAGCAAAUGUGAAAAUCUGGUAACUGAAACUACAGCUCCGCUUCUCAAACGAUUUGAUUUGUCGCUAAAGUACGGCCUAUUGAUCUUCCCAGAAGGAUGUGUGUAAAUUGCUGCGGAGCAGACAAUUUUACAGAAGUUUUCAAAAAGGAGCAGUCGAAUUCUUGACAUGAAUCUCUAUGAUCUUCUGAAAAAAAUUGAACACGAGAUGGACUGAGCGGGUACCUGGAUUUUGCGGCCGAGCUGGAUGGGGGUGGCCGUGGCCUGGACGAGGUCGCCGAGCCCCGCGGGCCCGACGUGGUUGAUGGAGAGCUGCACGCCGGCGAGUCUCCGGUAGCCCGAGGCGACGUAGCAGCCGAUGCUCGCCGUGACCUCCGCCAUGAGCGCCGACACGCCGCCGUUGAGCCAGUCGAAGGGCUGCGGGCGGGCGCGCACCGCACCCGGUCGGUCGGCUCACCUCAUCAGUAAUCACGAUCGGGGGAAAAAAAAUCUAUCCAAGCGGCGGCGGCGGGCGGGCGUACCUGGCAGCAGGUCUCGGUGACGGGGAGGCGGCCGGCGACCUCCCGCGCGGUGACGCGGGUGAACUCGAAGCCCAGCGCCUGCAGCGCCCGGUCCACCUGGAACGGCUUGGUGGCGUCGCCCGCUGCCGGCGGCGGAGGAGGAUCGCUCGCGCCGGCGCCGCCGCCCAUCACUCUCGGGUAUCGGCUUCAGGCCGGCCCUUUCUUUGGUCCGAGUGUGUGAAGGAAUAAUGAUUCUGGCGAGGCGGCAGCCGGCGGCAGAGGCGGGCGGGCAGGAGACGUUGGGUUGGGUCUUAGGGUCUUAGGGUUGGGAGGUUGGAGAAUUUUUUAUAUUUUUUAUUUUAGUAUUUUGCAAAAAUAUAUGACUAAAAAAAUUACAAAUAUCUAUACCUAUACCGUCGUUUGAAAUGACGGAAGGCGUACGGUAGCAAGCUACCGCCAGUUGAAUCGGCGGUAACUUUCCUCCUCUACGCAGUCAUAACUAAUUCAUAUGAACUUGGAUGGAGAUAAAUUUUAUAUGAAAAUUGUAGAUCUCGACUUUGUAGUUCAAACUGUUUUCAUUUGAUGUCAUCUUGGUGCUCAAAUAAUCGACACAAAUUUUAGAUCUAAAAUUUAAUUUUAGAUUGAAAAUUAUGUCGAUUAUUUGAGCACAAAGAUGGUACCAAAUAAAAAGUACACAGACGACACAGUACAUGGUCUUGUUUUAAAUUUUGCUAUUCAUGUGUCGAUAAAUUUUCUUCAUCAAAUUUUUUUAUGUUGCAAAUGUUAUCACUUGAUGUUGCAAACAUUAUUCUUCGAUGUUUCAAAAUAUUUCAUUAUUUUAGGGGAGGAAAUGUGGCAGGUUCUUGUGAUGUUACCGGUGCUAUUUACGAUGUUUCAAUGUAUUAUUCUCGCACGUUGAAUAGUACUUCAUGUUUCAAUCAUAUGCAAAAUGGAUAAUAAUAUCUGCAAUAUCAAUGAACAACAUGUGCAAUAUCAUAAAAUUUGACAAAAUUUACCCUAAAAAUCCGUCGGCAGAUAAAUAGACAUUUUUUUUUGCGAGGGCACGGUAGUACAUGGUCCUUUUUGCUUAGCAACAGCACAGAACCCACUGCACGGUGCAAGGUUACAGCCGAAACGCAACACCUUCAAUAACCGUAGACUUCCCAUAGAAAGGGCGGAGCCUGCUGGCGGUGAGAGUAAUUCACAUGAUGCUUCUCUAGAGCUUGGCGUAUUUCUUGAUGCUCGCUUCAUGGCUGGUCAUCUCCUCUGGCCUUGAUGGGUUGGCUGUUAGCAGGGUAACUCUUGCUGUCGACACCAGGUCCUUGCACUCUCCUGUGGAAGGAUCUGUCCGCCAUAUCUGGACCUCCCAGACCUGCCACGACGACGGGACAUUUCAGCUGUCAGCGGUUAGUUGCAUGCGCCUGACGCUCGCAGAUAAUUACAAUUAGCACGCCAAACUAAGGAUCAGUACACUUCUGUUCGCUUCAGCUUAUAAGCCGGUUGAAAAGUUGAAACGACUGAUUUGUUAUGAGAGAAAAAUACUGCUUGGUGGUUGAUAGGCCGGCUGAAUCGGCUGAAUAAGCUGGAGCGAACAGACCGUACGUAUAUAAUUAACUGGUUCGUGUCAACGCAUUACGCAAGGGUUCUUUCCGAUUGGGAAUUCAUUCCAAAAGGAUUGCUUCAACUCAAAUCAUAUACACGAGGAAACUGAACGCUAGCUAGCUAGAGACAGUUCGGGAGAGAUCGUAUGAAGAACAGGGGAGGGGGACAACGGACCGACCUGGAUGCUGCGGCCGAGCCGGACGGGGGUGGCCUGCGCGUGGACGAGGUCGCCGAGGCGGGCGGGCCGGAGGUGGUUGACGGACAGCUGCACACCGGCGACGCGCUGGUACCCGGACGCCAUGUACGCGCCGACGCUCGCCGCGGACUCCGCCACCAGCGCCGACACGCCACCGUUCAGCACCCCGAACGGCUGGCAGCACGUGCCGGUGACGGGGAGCCGUCCGGCGACCUCGCCCGCGCUGAUGCGGGUGAACUCGAACCCCAGCGCGUGCAGGGCCUUGUCCGCCACUACGGCGCCCUCCUCGCCCGCUGGCGGCGUCGGCGGCGGUGGGCGCUUGUCGUCGGCGCCCAUGGUCAUCGCUGGCUGCCCAAACUCUUCGACAGUCGAGGAUGGCGUGGUGGAGGACAGGAGGAGCAAUCGACCAUGGGUGAGCGUGAGGCGACUGGUGGAUAAUAAAGCGCCAACCAAAGCGGACCAGCACGUACGUACGCUGACCAUGGCUGUGUCGAUGUCGAUGGCCGUGGGCUUGGGUGGGCUGUACUUUUGCAAACUAUCUGGGGAUGUGUUGGGCUGGGCUUUGAUUGAAUGGACCACGACGCGCGGAAAUAUUUUUCCCAUUUGUCGAGCGAGAAACAAGGAAAGAAUCUAGUAUGUUUUAAGAAUUUCACCGUCGGAUCCUACUCAAACUUCUGUUUUCUCUUUUAUGAUAACCUCAACUAAGAACAUCUGUAUGAUGGAGGUUCACGACGCCAGUGUGGCCCAUCAUCCUGCGCACAUGUGGAGCUGUUGCUUCCUCUUUUGGUCCCUCCUCUCUCUAGCAUUGUUCCGGCUUUUCUCAAUUCCAAAGGACAAUGCAGGUACCUAAAUCACGAAAGGGUUUUCUUUGUCUUAAUUAGUUGAAGCAAAGUGAAGCGUCGAUGAAAAGAUAGAUGCAAGCUAAGGAGCUGCGGCCUAACUAUUGCUAAGGAAAAGUCUAAAGCGCGCCGACCGCCGCGCGCGAGUGCGCGACCUUCGUGGCCUGCUGCGGCCUAGCGAGAGGAUAGUGGGCUGCUGCGGCCCACACACUUUUUUCUUUUAAUUAUACCUUACAAUAACUUUGUUAUGGAGUGUUUAUUUUCAAUUCCGUUUGCACCAUUAUUUUUCUUAUGACAAUAUCUUCAAAACAAGAUGUAUAAUACAUAUGUUUUGGAAUAUAUUUUUAUAAGCUGACAACUUAUAUUGAAUGUGCAAUAGCUUAUAUUUGUUUGUAGCAACUUAUAUAUAAACACCUCAACAAAUGAUGUAGAUAAAGUGCUACAAACUUAUUAUCAUGUCCUUUUGCCUGGCUCUACAUAAGUUGAUACCAGCUAUAUUACAUCAUAUUAUCUUCGUCCAAGUUGUUCCACAAUCUUCCAACAAAUUGAUACAUUUGUCUCUAUAUAAAUUUUCUAAAUGAUAAAUAGAGAUACCACAUAAGUUGCUACAUAGUCAAUACGUAAGUUUGAUAUAUCACCUCUACAUAAUCCAUUACACUGUAUCAAAUUUUCUAUUGAUCUUUACAUAAGUUUGAUAGAUAAGUUGUUACGCAGUUUGUCUAUAAGUUACGACUUACAAUCAAUAUAACUUGACAGUCGCAUAAACAGCAUUAAAACAUAUCAAAUAUGGAUCUUGUUUUGUAGAUCUCAUUGCUAGGAACACAAUGGUGCAAACAGAUUUAAAAACGGACACUCGAUGUGAGAGUAAUGAUUAUUUAAAUGAAAUAUAAACAGUUUUUGCUGAUGACAUCAUCACCAAAAAUGACGUCCUCCUACCUAACCUGCACGCUGCACCCCAUUGAAUUGAUAAUGUCACAUGUUAGCAAAUAAUAGGCAAGCAAACUUGUAGUAAACAACUCUGUUGCACGCUCACCCGUACACCGGUCAGAAGAAAUGUGCAAGUGUUGGAUAGGAGGUCGCGUGCUAACAGUUGGCGCGACCGGUCGCACGUUAACCUCGUCCGCUAGUGAAGUUGCACCGAAGAAGUUGCACCAAAUGAGAGCACGUCAAUGAUGACCAGCAAACUGAGUGUAGGUUAGAUUUCUUAUGUUGAAAUCCAACGACACAGGUUUUGAGUCCUGGACUCAGUAUCCGAUGCUCGUAUUUUUUUCUUUUUAGUUUUUGGAUUUUUUUCAAGAAUCAACAAUGUUGUAUUUUGUGUGUUAGGAGACAUUGAUGUGUCCAUCGACAAGAAAGUAUCUAUGGUGAUCUCAUCAAUAUUAAGAUCCGCUGACAACCCAAUCUCUCAUAGGUGCUUAUAGAGUAGUAGGAUGUGGGUACGUCGGUGUAUGCGUUUCGAAAAAAGAGCACAAUGAUGAUUAAAAGGUAAAGCUUGUGACCACCACAUGUGGCACCGUCUAAUAAUCAGUAGAUCUCAUGUGCUACAUCACUGUACAUGUCGUGCAUAUGACUUAUUUUUUGUCAGAAAAAAGAUAUGCAUGUGGAGCAUGUAUAUCAUUAUCAAAUGUUAACCCAGCAAUCACAGGCGAGAAGAAGUAAUCAUUAACCAGAAAAUUAAUGAACUUUGUGGCAGAGGUUCCCCAUAAUGAUGCACUUUAAAUUUCGCAUUAUGCUGUUCCAGGAAUAAACCAUCAUCGUAUAUAUAGUUUGCAUCUAUCAUUCGGCAAACAAUGCAAGUUAGAUUGUGUUGCCACUUCUUUCUCAGCUCCAUUAGGGGAAUAUCUAAUCAUUGGAAGUCUCUUGGUCUCCCAUAUGCGUAUGUUCUUGACAGAUAGAGAGGACGACUAAAUGACUUGAUUGCGAGGGCGCGGCCAGGCGGCGGCGGCGGCGGCGACGACGACAUGGAACGAAUUGAAGGGCGUCCGAGUUCAUUCCACCGCCGCAUGCUGGGCGGCGGCGAUGACGACGCGGCGCCGUGGUCGCGCUAGUAGUAGGCGGCAGGUCACCCACGACGCCGUACGUGCCGUGCGACGGUGCGAGUUGUCCAGUUGCUGUGCCCCGUCUGGUUAGGUUGCUUGUUUUGGUGUACCGACGCCCCGGCACAUGCUUUUGGCCGGCGGCAGCGGCAGCGGCAGCGGCAGUACGUGUUCCAUAUGCUACCUAACUUGAUCCGUCUAUUGGGAUUGGAACUCGAGCGGGUCACGUGAACGCAAAAGCUUUGCUUUCCCCUUCCGGCCGUGAUUGCCACAAAACAAUAAAGUUAGGAUAUGGCUAGAUAAAUGUUUCAAGUGGUCCAUAUAUGUUUGUAUACUAGUAAAUUUCUAUAAUUUUAUUUACGCUGCCCGAUGCAUGGAUUCAGUGAUCGAGUUGUCUCUAUUUUACUCCUCCUGUGCCUGUGCCCAGCUAUCAGGAUUCAAGAUAGCAUCAUAGUCAGAUGUUGUGUCGAGUAGUUGAUGGGCACUGCUGCCUGCUUGGUUUUCGGUUACCUAUAGCCUCACUCACGGCCUGACCAUGCUCAUCAUCACCAUUUCAUUUGGUCCAUUUCUUUACGUUGAGUAGAUGUGCGUUCCCCCGGAUCGGAGCUCAUCAUCUCUGAUCUGACCAUGCAUGUGACCGUGUGAACGCGCGCAUAUAUACUCAGAUUGAAUCGAUGCAUGUCAAUGUUGGAAAAUUUAUUAAGCCCCGGCAAUAACCGGCCAUCACAUGGAAAGGUUUUCAGAGUCCAGCAUCUGCUUUGUUUAGUGGUUGCAUUUUGCAGUCUCCAAUGUUUUUCUUUGGCCGAUAAAAUUGAGUACCGACGUCCUCCCUAAUCAUCACUUAAAUGCCUCUCCUCUGGUCUCGUGCAUCAUUAAACAUCAUUUGAUUAUGUCUGAUACCGGACACGGAGAGAAACCGUUGGUCGUCACCGCCGGUGGCCGGCGCCCCGGGCGGUUUUCUAGGCCGGCGGCCUUGCUUUAUUUGCAGACCAUUGCAUAUGUACAAGAGAGAGAAUCCAUUGCAUACAACACAAGCUGCCAAAUGGUCAAAAGCCAUUGGCUCGUCAGUCUAGCAGAAGCACCGUGCAGUAGUGGCGGAGCGCGUCGGUCAGAGGCUCAGGGCUCUGUCCGGGCGGCUGUAUACUGCGGGAAACAUGCGUGCAUGCAUCACGCGCGUGACAAGAGCGAGGCUGGGGCCGACGCGGCUUGACGCUUGAGUGCUUGACGGCUUGUGGUCUGGGCGGCGCCGGAGCGGGCUCCGCCGGGCCCCCUUGCCCAUCACCGUCUCCGGCUCCGGCUCCUCCGUGCAUGUGCGCCUGCAUGCGACCUCAUGAUUCUGUCCUUUUAACCCAUGGACCCAGAUCGAGCCGGUGCACGUGCCGCCAUGCGCGCCGUGUCCCCACACCCCCACGAUUCUGUUCGCACUUGCAUAGCUGCAUUGCAUCUGCAUCGAGAAGAACACCGAGAUCCUUGGGUUUACAGGAACAAUAUCAAAUCGUCAACUUUCAUAUUUAACUACUACGUAAUCUCGCAACGAUACUCUAAUGUGACGGGAAUGAUUACUUAACGUUAUAGAAACAAAACAAUAGAGGACUGCUGGAGAUGAGACGACUCUCUCCUCCCAUUAUCAGGGCGCAUGUGUGCCCAGCCCAGCCCGGAGCGCCGUCGGAUCACCGGAGCUCCGGCGAUCCGACGGCGGCUUUUCAUCCUGUUCGGCCGGGCCGGGGCGCCACUUACGCGCCAAGAGAGCUUUUCAAUGCGUGCCAAAUAAAUUUCUGUUUCUUGGGUCGACAUCAACGUGCACCCCCACCAAUCUUGUCUUCCGGAUCUUGCCUCCCAGUCCCACCUUCCUCUCACUCCUCUUCGUCCUCCCUUUGCUUCUUCCUCCCUCUCCUCUUCGCCGUGGAUCACGGAUGGGUAUAUAUAUGGGCUCAAAGGACCCGGCCGAGUAGCUGUUGUUUACCACAGCACAGUACUCCUCCUCUGAUCCCAGCAUACACACACAAAAGACACCGAUUGAUUCCAGCAACCAGCAUAGUCCUUCAUCUGUACGACACAAACAUCGAACACCAGUAGCAGCGGAUUCCAUUGCAUUUGCAUCAUGGGUUCUUGGGUGCGCACCAUCACGACGCCCUUCAGGAAGAUGCUCAACCCGCAGCGUGACGGCAAGAAGACGCCGCGCCACCACCACCACCACCAACAACAACAACAAUCUCCUUCAGGUAAAUACACGAUUGUUUUGGUUUUCGCAUCUAUCCAUAAAUCUAUCUCUUAUGUAUGAUUUGAUAAAUGGAUGCUCAUGGCGUUUGCGCAUGAUUUGCAGCCAUGGAGCACAGCGGCGAGAUGGAGAGGUCGCAGCUCUACGGCGAGGUGAUGGCGUGCACCUACGAGGACGUGCAGGUCAUGUGGUCCAUGCUCGACAAGGCCAGGAUCUGCAGCGCCGCCGCCUCCUGACCACUAUACACACACAUCCUCUUCAUCCAUCCGAUCCGUCCGUCCAUGGCGAGAACGAGAUCGAUCCACCAGUAUAUACAAACACAGCCAUAGCCAUUAUUCAUUGCAAAAGCAAAGCUCUUGGCGACAACGACAGUACCUUCAGUCUGCCGAGGCGGCAUGCAAGCAGUUCCAAUCCCAAGACUUUUUUUUCAGUUGGUUUCGUGUGGCGCGCGUGUACCAUGUUCAUGCGCAUGGUCGAGUCUGAAUCCCCGCUGCUGGCACACACAUGGAUCAUGGUGGAAGGCCGCCGGUGUGCUGUCUUGGAGAGAUUUAGUGACCCACAACAUUUUAGCUAGGUGUUGCUGCUUUUGAGGCCAUCAUGCUUUGUUUUCCUCUUUUUCUAUUUUUCGGUGUCAGAGAUGCAUGUAUUCAUCAUCCGAUGCAUGAGUUUAUAUAGAACUUCCAGAGAUCUGAACUUUAUCUCUGUUUUGAACCUCAACUACGAAGUACUUCACCUUCAUCUUAGGCCUAUUUUGGAAGGACGUGACUGAUUAGCCCAGGGUAGAAGUGCCCCUGAGGUUUUUUUUUUUUUGACUUUGCGGGGUUUUUUUUUUACUUUUCGAAUCCCUUCCACCAGAGAUUUGCUGACUCCUAUCCCGUUGCUGUUUGGAAGCUAUGAGUCUCUGACGCAGGGCAAGCACAGCGGGAGGGAUAUAUGUAACAGCGGGAGGGAUAAUAAUAGCAAGAGAUAUAAAUGGUAUGGAAGAUAUGUGCUUUGCUGAUGACAUAGUGAUAAAUCAACCAAACUUCAGUCCACACAAAUGGUAAAAAUAUCAUAUUACAUCCAGCUGAAGCAAAAUAUAAAAAUUUACAGAUUUCUCAGCAUGUUUAAUUUAAGCUCAUAAUUUAACCAUUGAUGCAAUAAUACAAGUUUUUUUUAGUAAAAGAAGCUGUCAAAUACUCACAACCAUUCUCUUCAUGCUUCAUGGUUCUCCUCAACAGUCACAAAUUCUAUCAAAUAAACAAUAAAAUAAAAAUUGAGAUCAGUGUUGAGGAGAUGCAACCAGGGUGCUGUUGGAGUUGUAGUUCCAUUCAUUCUUCAAAAGUUUUGUUUCAUUUCUUCCAAAUGAAAGUUUUCUCCCGCCAAAAGAAAAGAGAGUUUUCGCAAGGUAUACUUUCUCAGAUGUGCUUACAGUAUGCCACGAACUGACAAAAGAGAAAGCAGUACUCUCUCGCAGAGGAUAAAAGGAUGCAUACCAAUUGUCAUGAGCCAUCUAUGAUUUGAUACCGAAGAAAUACCUUUACGCGUGAAUCUAGCUGUAUUAACACCAUAUGAGUCAAUAAGUGGACCUCUAAGUAAGAAAAAUUGUAAAUAUGGAACAUAUAUGCAUGCUGAUCAUUCAUGUUCAGAGCUAACAUUUGAUUCAAUAACGAAGAGAGAACUUGUUUGACAAUACAGUGAGAGUGAGUGUACAUAAAACCACAAGCCAACAGCACGAAGAUAGCUAUUAUAAUUACAAGCAAGUUUACAGCAGUGUACUCACAGCCGCUGCUUAUCUAGCAACAUAGUCUAUGUCAGAUCUAGUAUACUAAUCUGCAGAGAAAUAAUUCCACAUUAUACACUCCAGCUGCUUGAAAUUUUUUACGUAAUCAGUAGAACAUCCAGUUCAGCUGGAGGUAUGUUCAAAUUACUUGAGCACCUGGAUGGCUGGAUGUACCUAUCUUUAAUCAGUUGAACAAUGUGCUCUGGAUGUACCUGUGUUCCAGGGAAUGAUUUAACCAACAGGUGGCAAUAGGUUAAGAGGAAUAAUUUAAAGCACUCGCAUGUGAAAUGGAUGGAAUCUGCCUGCGGCACAGGUGAAAGAAUGGAGAUGUACUGAAAGUCUGAACUUCUGCUAAAACAAUUGCACAUUCAAACUGUUAAUAAUUUAAUUUGCAGUAGUUUGUGGUGCUGAAUUCCUUUUGGAAUCGGUGGCACAUAUGGAAAAACGGGGUGUAACGAAGGUCUGAAACUUCUGCUAAAAUAAUUUUGCACAUUCAAACUAGUAAUGCUUUGCAUCAGUUUAGAUAUAUUGAAAUGUGCUCUCGAACAGAAGUAAGCUACAUGCAUGUGAAACAAAUAAGACCCUGCAAACUCAAAUCAAAGUGACACUCACAAGUUAAGAAAUAUCACAACAGAUGUGCAUUCCCAUCUGUGAAUUUCCUUUCCCUUCAUUACCAUUCCAUUAGAUUUCCAUAUCACCUCGUCAUCUCCGCUAGAGCCGUACGUGUACGUGGUGACGUUGGCCUUGGGCGCGACGAUGGGGACACGCGUGGUGCAGACGGUGCCGACGACGUCGGGGAUUCCAGACACGGCCUCGAACCUAGCCGCAGCGGGGGGCCCGUCUGGCCAGAUGACCUCGGGUUUUAGCACUGUGGCAAGGGCGUGGCAUACCUGGAGCAGGUUGAGAUGCCAAGGCUGAAGUGGCGGGAGAUCUCACGGAGGGGCUCCCCCGUGGCGAGGUGCCAGAGGUGGGCCACCACGCGCCGGCGCACGGGGGCAUGUGAAAGGCUCCGGCCGGGGAUUGGGUGGCCGACGGGAAGGAGGCGCCGGCGGUGGCGCGGGACUCAUUGCCGGAGCAGGACGACGGGGAGGCAGAGCGGCUGCAGCGCCUCAACCGAAUGCUCGCCGUCAGGGCCAAGGAGGAGCAGAGCCGGGCAACGCCGCUGGAGGCGAGGCUCAGCGAGGUCUCGAAGACGCCGCCGUGCUCGCCGCGGCGGAGCACGGAGUGCUCCUAGCGGCGCUGGCGGCCCCACUCCGGGCCGCGGAGGAGGAGCUCGCGGCGCGGGUGCCCGCCACGCGGUGGUACGGGAGGUGCUCGGGCGCGUCGAGGUGGAGGCGGCACGCGAGGCAGCGGCGGGGGCUGACGCCGCGGCGCAGCUCCAGGGGUCCGCCGCGGAGAAUCGAUCAUUCUCGGAGUGGAUUGGCGCCAAGGGCGCCGAGGCACAAUGCGUGGGGAGACUACACGGCGGCAGGGCAGAGCGGAGGACCAAGGUGAGCCAAGAACGCCGAUUGCUAAUAGAACUCGAUUCCGUCAAUGGCCAUAUAGAUAAGGUUCCAGUGGGGCCACGUUGUCAGUGUCACAUAUGGAUGGAAAAUCUAACGGAAUGGCAAUGAAGGGAAAGGAAAUUAGAAAUAGUGGCAGUGAGGGGAAGAGAAAACUUUCGAUGGCAUUGAGGGGAUCGUUAUAAUUUCCAAUGGCAUCAAGGUAAUUCACUCUUUUAUUUUACGGUCCUAAAUUUCGUCCCUGCCUACUCGUAUAGUCCCAUGAACACUCUUUUAUCUUAACAACAAAAUCACAUAUGUGGUAUGUCAGAGCCUUGCCUCUAUUCUGAAGAAAAUUUUUAUGGGACGACAGACUCCGAGUAUCUACACAACCAUUCUAUAGGGCAUCCAUGGAAACAAAGCGAAUAGAGCAUUAAAGGUGUACAAUUCAGUUGGAAUGAUAGAGAUUCUGUUUUCUGUUCACUAAUCUAAUGUAGUAUGACAGUUCUAGUGAAUAGAAAAACUAGAGGAUGGAGAUGAACAUCAAACUGCAGCACUGCUAAUAUUGCUGUUUACUUCAGAGUUCUGAUCGAACGGUUCGAAAGCUCAAAUAAAUAACUCACCAUUCAACAGUAUAAUUUUGUAUACAAUAUUCUACUCCCACUGAAAUAGUGUAGUAUCUUUCUUAAAAUUUACAGUACGAAGAUUUUCAUAAACUUAGAAAGCAUAUGUACCCUUUUUUCCUUUUGAAAGAAAGAAAGCAUAUUACUCUUGCAUAGUGUACACUAGUACUCCUAUGAUAGAAGGUUGCUAUGCCCUAAAAAAAAAGAUAGAAGGUUGCUAGAAGUAACUAACAGCCCAUCAAGCAGGGUACCCUGGGCCAAAUCGUUAAUUUCUUUGUUAGGUACUGAUGCUGCGGCCCAAUUCCAGCGCGUGCGCUACAAAUUUACUUUCUUAACCUCAACAGGCCCGCCUCAGCCAACAUCAUUGCGGCCCAAUAAGAAAAAUGCGGCCCAUCGUUUCCUGAAGGCCUUGAGGCCUAGCCUAACUACUGCACCGUCUGCUGGCCCACUUGCAUUGAACGGACAAGUAAUCAAAAGUUAAUAGGAACCAUUCAUUGCGUAGGAAAACUUCUAAAUAAAUCACGGAACAAUACGAGUACUAAUAUACUCGACCCAGGCCCAUCAGGCUGAAUAUGAAGAUCAGGGACGGCGGCCCAUCAUCGCGCAGGAUCACGAUCCAGAACGCGGCGUCGACGUGCAGCCACAUGCCAUGGCGGCGCGUCACCUCCCCGAGCUCGCGCACGGGGUCGGCCGCGCCGAGCCCCGUCGUCCCGAUCGUGGCGCAGAGGUACAGCGGCACCGGGUCGCGGGCGACGUCGGGAUGAGUAGAUGACGCGGAAGUUGGAGGGCGGGACGCCGACGACCCGCGCGCCCUUCUGGAACGUGGCGUGCGCCAGGUCGGAGGCGUAGACCACCAGCCUCGCGAUGGCAUCGUUUCCCAGCGCGGCCAGCGCGCGGUCCCGCGCGGCGGCGAGCGUGCACACCACGACCUCGCACCUGCUCCCCUGCAGGACGCCCCCGCCACGGCCGGAGGAGAGGAACCGCUGCGGUAGGCCGAGCAGCGCGGCCGUCCAGUCCACGACGACGCCCUCGAAGCUCGGCGGCGUCCGGCGACGCCGCCCACGUGAAGGGCACGAAGACGUUGAGGCCAGCCGAGAGCAUCUCCCCCGCGAAGCCCGCGGCGCUGGCGUUGGCCGGGAAGUAGGCGAAGAAGCUGGGGGCUCUGCCAGUGCGUGAGGCCCGGGAGGAUGUCCCGGCGCACGUCGUCCAGGACGCUCUCCAUGGACUCGCCGCACUCCGGUGCCGCAUUGGGGAGCAGCGCCCGGAGCCUGCCGGGCUCGAGGCCGGCGGCCCGGACUAGGUACUGGUCGAUGUCGCGGUAGUACGCGGCGAGGAAGUCCAGCACGGCACGCGAAUCGCGAGUCGCCGGGGAAGGUCUCGGAAGUCCAGUGGCUGGAAUGGCGCGUCGAGCGGCAAGCUGCCCAUCUUCCGACACUGGCAGAGACCGAGCAUACGUACUUGGAAGUUGUGGCUCACGGUUGCCGCUGUUCCAUCCAAGUCAGCACCGCUGCACCAGCUGCAAAAUAAUCUCCAAAUAAUUUUCCCAAACAUGAACAUAUAUCUUGGGCAAAAUAAUUUUAUUUUCGUGCUUGACACACUUUCCAUGAGCAAAUGUUCACCAAAUGAUCUUGUGUGUUUGACACUUUCCAUGAGCAUACUACCGUGGCCCAUAAUCACAUUCCAACGAGGUUGCUUCAUCUCACCGUGGUGUGGGUGGUAAUCUUGAUGUUGUCUACAGCAUGCUUGUGGCCUCCAGCACCGCCGGCCAGACCGUCAGCUCAUCGGACUCAUUGGACCGCCGUGUGUGUGUCUCAACGCAACGGCCACGGAGACGUCACAGAUCGAUCAGGAUGGAAUUAUGGAAAGCUCCUCCGCCUUCUCGAGUAGCUUGGUGCCCCACGUUCUUGUCGACGACGAUCGGUCAACUCAUCUUGACCAUCCAAAAAUGCAUCACGACCUUGUGACUAUGCCAAUGACCAACAUCGUAUCUGCCUCCAAUAGAGCCCCCCACGUACACACCAUCUUCUAAUUUCCACCCAAGAACGUAACAUCCUCUAAUACAAUUCACUUGGUCCUACGAACUCAAACAACUUUGGACAAGUCAUAAAUGCUAACACUUUAACUUGCAUGCUGCACACGCACAAUUCUUUCCAUCUGCAUCAUGUCAAAAUACAUUUACACAUUACCGCCCUACAGUAAAGCACCAAAAUUUUCUACGCACACGCACACGCACACAACUAGCUAGUAAGUGUAUUGAAUAUAGGAUUUUUAGUGCGGCAACAUUUCGAAUACUCAUAUGUGAAAAGAGAACACCUUAAAUCCUUAAUCUAAUGUAGAGAAGAAUGUAUAAAGCAUUACUUUCAUAAAAUUAAUUGGUCAAUCAUAGAAUACAUAGAACCCUGUUCUAAGGACUCUACACGAUUGAUAACAAAACUCCACAUGACUCUGCAAGAAAAUGAAUAAAAGACACAACUUAGAAGCCUUAUUUCUGGCUGGCUGAGAUAGAAGUCUUAUUUGUGGCUGCAGGCUAAGAUAGGAGCCCUUUACACAAGGGCUUUGAAGCUGUAAGUUUAUUGAACAUAAGAUUUUUAGUGUGCCAAUAUUUCAAAAAAUAAAGCAUAUACUGCUCAUCAUGUGUACUCAAUGUGAAAAGAUAACACCUUACAUCCUCAAUCUACUGUAGAGAAGAAUGUAUAAAAUAUUACUUUCAUAAAAUUAAUUGAUCAAAUGACAUAGAAUACAUAGAGCCCUAUUCUAAGGACUCGGCAUGAUUAAUAACAAAACUCCAUAUGACUCUAAAAGCAAAUGAACAAAAGGCACAACUUAGAAGCCUUAUUUCUUGCUGGCUGAAAUAGAAGCCUUAUUUGUGGUUGCAGGCUAAGAUAGGAGCCCUUUAUACAAGGGCUUUGAAGCUGUAAGUGUAUUAAACAUAAGAUUUUUAGUGUGCCAAAAAGCAUAUACAUCUUGUGUACUCAUAUGUGAAAAGAGAACACCUUAAAUCCUCAAUCUACUAUAGAGAAGAAUGUAUAAAACAUUACUUUUAUAAAAUUAAUUGAUCAACAUAGUGCCCUGUUCUAAAGGACUCGACACGAUUGAUAACAAAACUCCACAUGACUCUAAAAGCAAAUGAACAAAACACACGACUUAGAAGUCUUACUUUUAGCUGGCUGAGAUAGAAGCCUUAUUUGUGGCUGCAGGCUAAGAUAGAAGCCCUUUAUACUGGGCAUGGCACAAUGAUUUACAAAUUCAAAUUAGACGAAGAGUCCCACCUGGGUGUUUUACCAUUUAUGCCGGGCGUGGCCGGGGGGAAUAAUGGAGGGUGCAUGGCACCAGCAGGGUUACAUUGGAGACCACCGGGUGGUCGGUUGGGACUUGGCCGGGAGAGCCAGCUAGCGGCAGGGGAGCGGUUUACAUAGCGAACAUAGCACACCAAUCAUCUACUACGUGACGCUGGAGAACUGGGAGGCGGCAGCGCCACAGCCGAUCGAGCUUCAUCUCUGCAAGUGAUCAGCAGGCGGGGAAGGCUAGCUUGUCUCGCGCCCAUGGAACACGACUUCGUGCCGGUGCUUCCAGAGGUGCCAGCAGCAGAGCAAGACGAGCGUGGGCAGAGCAGUGACGGGGUAGCAGUGGUCUCCUGGAGCGCGAGUGUACCGGGGGGAGAGCGGCAUGGUCCCAUCCAAUGUGUCGCCAGAAACGGCACGCAAACGGGCAGUUGCGGAUGAGGUGCCGAGGUGGCGUCGUCGAGGACGUUCUUGCUCGACAGAUUGCGCUUGCACUGGAUUCGCCCUUGGACGAGAAGCCAAAGCGAAGAAUCUUACGCGCGGCGGGGCGUGAUUGCGCCAGACGAAGGCGUAGUAGGGGCAGGCGGCAACGUCGGCGCGGUAGACAGCUGCGGCACUAAGGGCGCGGCCGGGCUUCUCGAAACGACUCCGGCGAUCGUCCGCCGCCGGGGUGAGAGCCUGGGGACGAGAAACGUGCCGAUGCCGGUGUUCAUCACGUCGUGCACCGUGGCGCCCUGCUGGCGCGCCACAUGGUUGUACAGGGCAGGGAGGGACGUGGCCAGCGGCGCCUAACCGAGCCAGGCAUGACCGAGACGCAGGUGAUUGGGCCUUGGGCGCUGGGCGGAGCGCCGGCAGGAGAGCACGCAACACGUCCCAGUGCGCGCCCUGAUCGAACGUCCCCAGACAAGGUGGCGAGGUACGGUCGACGCGCUCGCGUGUCCAGAGCGCCCAAGAUGACUCGCCAGGAUGAUGUAGGCGGCGCAGCAGCUUAAGAAGUAGGGCGGCAUUCUGGACCGCGAGUUGCCGAAUCCCCAGGCCACCGUCUUCCUUGGCUUGGCAGGCGCGCGCCUACGCAAUGAGGCAUUGUGCCCGCCGGACACCGUCUCGUUGCCGCUCAAGAGGAACGCAUGGCAACGACAACGGUCCAGGGCGUCGAGCACCUCCGGGGAGCAGUAGCGCCGCCAUGAGGUAGGUGGGGAGCUCGUCUAUGACGGAGUUGAUCCAGACCACCUGGACAGCCGAGCUGAGCACAGCAGGAGGGCUUGCCCUGCCGGACAGGUACGUACCUGUCCACCUUGGCGAUGAGUGGGGCGAACGCGGCAAGGUUGAGUUUCACAUAGUUUUGAUUUUUUUUCAUACCCAUUGACAAAGGAUUUAUGCACUAUAAGUGUAUUUUAUUGUCUAUGAAAUAUGUGACAAAAUUAGUCUACAUCUCCUUUACUUUAUUUAAGAAUAUGUAUUUUGUAUUUUAUGUUCUUUAUCAAGAAUUUUCUAGUCAAACUACGAUCAUACACAAUACAAAUCAAGUGGCAAUUAGCUGAACUAGAAAAUAUUUUAAAGCUGCAUUACAUAUAUGUGCUUCUGAAAAACUUGAUGAAAUAGCACAGUAUCAUAUGAGAAACUAUAAAAUUGCAUUUAGAAUCAGAUGUUAUGCGUGUACCAAGCUGAUACUGAGCAUGCACUCCCGUCGGCCCAUUGCAGGAAAACCCUGAAUCGUGAUAGGGUGAUAUCUGAAGCCCUGAACUAUCAAGCUAGCCUUCUUGAUCAGCUUUAUUUUUUGCAUCGAAAAUCCUCAAAGGUUAUUGUGUGAAUAGUAUAUAUAAAGUGCAGCGAAGGAGCCAAAAGCACUGGCACAGACCAAGCACGACUAUGCAUGGAGGUGUAAUGAGGUGACACUGUAGUGGUGUCACAAUGCAUGGGUCAGUACUUGAGGCAACAUUUUCUUUUAUCAAUAGCAUUUGCACUCAACCGGUAAUACUAAUACCCAUAAAGAGUAGUAUUAUUUGAGUUGAUUAACUUAUUCUCAUAUAAUAUUUUUUAUUAGUAUGCUAAGAGAUAAUAAAUUCCUAUAACUUGUAAUAAAUAAAUUGAAGUCCUUUUUUGUCAUUGUCUCUAGAAUAGCAAAGGAUUCUGGUUUGGAAGAACAUUGUGUAAAAUCCCCAAAAUAGUAACUGCUCCUCAAUAAACAGAGAAAAAUAUUGAUCAAAACAGUUGAUGAGCUUAUCAGCACGGUUGAUGGAUGCUGGGAAAUAUCAUUAUUGGUUGACCAUAUUUUCUCACAAGAGCAUGAACGAAGAAGUUCGCCAAAUAGAAGGCGGUAUAACAGAUACAUUUGAUGAAAUGGUAUCAUAACGUUCAGGGGCUCUUUUUCUGUCAAAAUUAUGAUAAAACUUAGGUGUGUGUCGCAAUAUAUGAUGAUCCGGAAUGAACAGGAUCCAUCAGGUUCAACAGGAAAUGCAAUCAUUUUCAAUUGCAAAUAAAUUGAAAAUCAUCCUAUGGAGUCUUGCACAUAAAUAACGUUCCUCUAUACAGAAGUAACUCCAUGCCCAGUUUAUUGCGGGAUUAGAUGAAGAAUGAUGGUCGUUCAUUUGCAAUAUGAAUAUGCACUAGAAAUCUAGACAGGAGCAGGUUUGGACGAUGUACGCGGUCCAUUGGUAGAACAGAUGUGAUUGGCUCCGUUUCUGCAGAAAAUUGUAUUCUAAAAAAAAUGGCAGGGAGAAAAAUUAAUAGAUAGAGUUACUGUUAACGAGGGGAGGAGAACAGAGGGAACUGUCUUUGACCGGGAGUCUCUAAUCAGCGCGCCAGGGCCGCCAGCGCUCGAUCUCCCGACAGCCCGUCCUUCCGACAGCCCGCGACUUUCCUUUCUGGGAAAGUUUAAAAUCUCGUAACUUUCCAUUUUCAGAAUAUCAUAACUUAUAUACAUAACUUUGAUGUAUAACUCCACAAUAUAAUUUUUAUGAGAUAAUUUUUUAGCACAACUUCAAUAGCGUGCAGAACUUAUGUGUAUAACUUCUAGGUACAAUUUGCAAGAAUAACUUUAAAUUUUGUUUUUUUGAAAGUUGUAACCUAUACGAAUAAUUUGUACGCAUAACUUUUUUCCUAACAAGAUGAUAAAUUUCGUAAUACAAUUUUCAUAAUAUACAUAACUUAUACACGUAAUAUUUGUCGUAACUUUUAAGAGAAUGUAUGCACAUAACUUAUACAUAUAUACAAAUAUUUACCUAAUAUUUAAAAUAAUUGAAAAAGAAAAACGCGUGGGGUCACGUGAGGCCCACCGGGCUUACGCGCCCUGAAGCGCUGCAGCGCGUGUCUAAUUAACAUUGCGUCUUUAACCUCACCUGACAGAGAACUUAGGCCCCGUUUGGAUACACAAUGCUAAACUUUAGCACAGUGCUAAACUUUAGCACCUUCAAAUGGAGUGCUAAAGUUUAGCACUUGGGGUUGUUUGGAUACAGUACUAAAGUUUAGCACAUUGGGUGAGAAAUGACUACAUUGCCCUCAUUUAUGACUGGCUUGGGGAAAAGUGGAGAGGAGAGAGGGGGCAGCAGGGAAAAAAUAGGUUUGGAUCACUUUUAGCACCCAUUAGCACCUUUUAGCAUCCCUUGGGUGUGCUAAAGAAAAUGAGGGUGCUAAACUUUAGCACACCCCUUUUAGCACCCCUGUUUGGGAGCCCAAGUGCUAAAAUAUGCUAAAAAGUGGGGUGCUAAAGUUUAGCACCCCUCUCCAAACAGGGCUUACUUUUUUUUCCUCAGUUGGUUAGGUAUCCUGUGGUUGAACCUGUCCACCCAGGUACAAAUUAAAUCCUUGACUCGGCGUGAGAAAACCUAAUGGCAGAGUUGUUUGUUGUUCCUAAUCCUGAAUUCCUGAUUCUGACGUUUGUCUGCAAUGAACAGCAUCUCGACCCAUCUGACCAUCUCUGUGUGAGGGAUCUUAAGGGCUAAUCUCUGACUGCUUGUUUAUAUCAACGCAUAUACCCUGUAAAUAAACUCAGAUCUGCUAGACCCUUUUCACUGAAACAACGGUUAUCACAACAGAGGAGUUAGUUCUGAAUAAAACAUAGAGCAGAAAAUUAAACAUGGAACACACUGUUGUAAAAUCCAAUCUGACAUAUAGCCUUAAGAGCUACUCGAUCUAACGACUCGAUGAUGACGACUCAAUACAUCAUAGAACCCUGUUCUAAGGACUCCAACUCGAUUGAAACGAACUCCACUACAUGACUCUGAAAGCAAACCGCCGCCACUUCAAAGACGGGGCUCACCGGCGUCACCGCCCAGGUUCUUGGGGGCAGGAGGUGCCCCAAGUGGCGGCGCGCCCUCCGCCAUCAGCGCCAGCACAAUUUCCGGCACCGCUGGUGGCUCCCGCGCCGCUUCCAUCUUGCUGAGCCUGUCGUUAACGAGCUUGAUGCGCUUGUCCACGAGCGCUUUGACGUCGACGAGGACGUCGAGGGGCAGAUCCUCGACGCGGCGGCGGUCCUCGAUGAGGUCGUGGAGGAUGAUGCUCAUGUCCAUCUCGCGGUUGGCGACCCUAAGACUCUCUACGCGAUGGCGCAUCAAGGCCUCGUACCUCUGCAGGUUGCUCGUGGCCCACCGCACGUUGUUGUCAGCGACCCCUUGGAUCAUGACGUUGCGGCGAGCCAUGUUACAACACAACAGGUAAAACCCUAGAGGCGCAGGAGAUGAAAGUGGCUACUGGCUGUUUGCUCUUGGUUGGUGUGAGGAAGACGAGGGAGAGGGGCUCCUUUUGUAGCCCGUCGGGCUGACGAAAAUGGAAUGGAGCUUGGCUGAAAAAUUGGAAAGGAGUGAUGCCUGGGAUAUCAGAUGACAGCAGGAAGGUGACUGUGCAAAUUAUUCCAAAAUAGAUUUCUUCUCCCGGCCGGAAUAAAACAGCUGGCUACGCGCCUAUCCUCAUUUUACCUGGACACGUGGUUGUACAUAAAAAAUGUUCCUGCUACAUUGACGUGUCAAGAAAAUACAAUGAAAUAAAGUUGCUCUGAAUCUCUGACUGCAAAGAGGGAAAUGUCCAUUGCAGAGGCAUGGAUAUCGAGACCAUGCAUGCGUUGUUGGUUCGUGUAAGAUCACAACGCAAAGGAAAGCUAGCACACACCGAUCUACAACAUGACAAUGUCCCAUUUCCAUCCAUAAGAAAUUGGACAUCCUGUAGUGUUACCUUGGUGAAAAUUUUGGCUUAGUAAUAUUCCUAUUUGUAAAAACAUUUGGCUUGGCGAGUUAAAGUAAAGCUUUACUGAUUUAUAAUUGUUUCUAGAAGUAGAUGCAGUCUCUAUGGAGUAGCAUAUAUCUCCAUUGCAGCCGAGUACCAUUUUACAAAUCCAUAGUAGAAUACAAUGAGCGAGGACCCAUAACUGAAGAACAAUGACCCAUUAACAAAGGACUCGAUCGUGCACUAUAAGUGUAUUUUAUUGGCUAUGAAAUAUGUGACAAAAUUAGUCUACAUCUCCUUUACUUCAUUUAUGAAUAUGUAUUUUGUAUUCUAUGUUCAGUAAGAAUUUCUAGCUAGUCAAACUACAGUCAUAUACACAAUACAAACUAAAUGAGCAGAUAAAUGAGCAGAGAGAUACGUUGAGAUGGGCUCCGGAGGAAAAAGGCACAUAUACAACCAGAUCAAUGUAUAUAUAGGUUUAUAACUUUCAGAGGGGUGGUAGACAGGAGGGCGUGCAAACAGUGGAAAAGUAAGUUACCCAUGAAAAUAAGAGUUUUCCUAUGUUCAGCAUUCCACAACAAGCUUCCUACUGGGGUAGUGUUAAAAAAGAAAAACUGGAAAGGAGAUGUCCUCUGUGUGGGGUACCAGAGACAGUAGAUCACAUCUUCUUUCAAUGUGUUUUAGAUGGGUUUGUUUGGGCUUGCUUCAAAGAAGCCCUGAGCUGGGAUAAAGUCCCAAGCAAUUUGGGGGAGGUGCUGGGAGGCUGGUUACAACUGGGGCGGUGUGUGACUAUGAUCUAAAGCUUUUUUCUUUUGCAACUAUAUGGUGGGUGCUUUGGAAUCAGCGAAAGAAGAUGAGAAUUGAAAGCAAAUUUCCAAAAUCACCAUCUGAUGUUAUGUUUACAAUAUCCUCUAACUUGCAAAGGUGGGAGAUAUUGCUGCAAUGUUCUGACAGAGGUCGCCUGGCCAUAGUACGUGAACAGAUGGAGAAAUGGCUUGGAGAAUAUCUGAAGAAGGAGAGGAUGCAGGAGACGGAUGAAGACUUACUCUAAUUCCCUACUCUGUGUCUUGGGUCCUUGUUUAGAUGCUCUCUGGUUGAGUGUCUCCUUUCUUAUUUCAACUUUCAAGUUGAACCAAUAUCUGUAGCUGGUAACCCCGGCAGAGUCUGUAACUAAACGUUAUUUGCUUUCUAUAAAAGAAGGAUGGAUUCUUGAUAAAAAAAACAAUGCAAAUUAAAUCAUGUCAGAGUUAGCUGAACUAGAAGAAUACUUUAAAGCUCUAUUGUAUGUGCUUCUGAAAAACUCAAUGAAAUAGCACAAUAUCCUAUGAAAAAUUAUAAACUUGGAUAAAGAAUUAUCAUACUGUCUUGAGAGUGAGAGUCUAAGUUACUUGGAUUGCUGUUGAUUAAAUUAGAGCUGCUUUACAAUUGUUAUAUCCAUGUACCGGGAUUCGAGGUCCUAAAAAGGUUUUAUUUGAAGGAAACUAUCAAAACAUUAUGCCUGCAGUUCAGAGGCUUUGGCCAAGCUUUACAUCUGAUAUUAGUUAGUUCUGGGAGCGUCAUGCAACUUUUCUUAAGGGCAAACGAAACUAAAGCUGGAUAAAAAUGACUGUUAGUGCACUACAAUUGUUCACUGAAACUACUACUAGGAAUUUUCCUACAUAUUGUUUAUUUAUGAAACUGCAUUAUAGAAGUCUAUAGCUCGAAUGUGCUAGUCAAACUAUAACUGUGUUAGAUGUGUGCACCUUGGUUGUCACAAUAGAUUGUCUUGGUUAGAUUUUGCAAUACCUUAUAACCAAACUAUAACCUUGCUCUAAUAAAGUACUGAAGCAGAGUUGAUUAUUAGUUGUAAAAACUUUAAAGUUUUGCUAUAUGAGUUAUGCAUCAGAAGCCCUACAACGUUACCUAAAGUUCAUGCUUUUCAAUUAGUAGGCAUGAAGCACUGUUCGCUUUCCGAUAAUACUAUUUUCCUCAAGUCCUCUCUCAGAUAUGUUUGUGAGCAUUAAUCAAAAGCAUCUAUAAGCAAGGUUGACCAUGUACUAACAAUAUUUCAGCAACUAAGAGGUUUCUUAACAAAAUAUCUCUUCUAAAUAAUCGAUACACAUUCAUACCUAAACAAACUUUUUAACUAUUUUUUGAGCCACUGGUUCCAAUCAAACAACUGCAAAAAUGCAUGCAUUUACUUCAUUUCAGAUGUUACUUAGUUCUAUCGAGUUGUACUUACAAAGAUCUUGGCUCCACCACUGCGUACAUGUCCUGUCAAAUAUGCAGGCAAGGGCGGAUCUAGCGGUGGGGCGGACAGGCCGGGCUCAAGCCCCCCCUACCGCUGCUUAGACAAUGGAGCCCCCCGGAAGCCCCUCCAUAAUUUUUUAGGAAGAAGGGAGAUAAGAAAGGGGAAGAAGAGGGAGCCCCUCCUAAACUCAUGGGCUACAUCCGUCACUGUAUGCAAGUACAUCACUACAUCGAUAGCUGUCCCACAUUUGAUUCUUCGGUUCUUUUUCUUGCCAUCCUGAUUCCUAUUAAUUUUUCUUGAUAUUUUUAUUCAACAUUUCAAGGAAAUUAAACCUGUUAAGAACUUCUGUGAGCCUCUGAAAGUCGGUGGAGUCAUUUUUUAUUAUAUUAUGAGGACCCACUUAGUCAUAUAAGGUGGUUUAUGUUGCUGGAAUCUAAUAAUGAACUGCAAGGAUACAACUCACAAAUUCUACUCCCUCUGUUCCAAAUUAUAAGUCAUUACAACUUUCUUGGAGAGUCAAAACAUCUCAAGUUUGACCAAAUUCAUACAAUAAAGUACUAACAUUCAUGAUACCAAAUAAGUAUCGUUAGUUUCUUCAUUAAAUAUAUUUUCAUAGCAUAUCUAUUUGGUGCAUAAACCUAUAUGAUCCUCUCUAUAAUUUUGGUCAAACAUAAAAUGGUUUGACUCUCCAAGAAAGUUGGAAUGACUUAUAAUUUGGAAUGGAGGGAGUAUAGUGUAACAAACGAUGCAAUGUCAAAUUUGGCAAAAUUAUGGUUUAAGGAUCUAGUAGUCGAGAUAUAGUACAAGGAAUGUGUAGGCUUUGUUCAAAUAAUUACUUCAAAUGUUAUUUAAGAAAAUUCCCUACUUCACACUGGUAUAAUGAAUGCUUCUUUAUAUGGCCCUCAAAAGUUAACAUGGGUCUAACUUCCAUUCGUGGUGUAGCGCUACCAUCCAUUUUGAUUAUUGCUAAUGGUGUUAAGCGGCACUUGAAAUGAUAAUUUUGCCCCUCAGUGUAUGUAAACAUUAUUUCUGGUGCAUAUUGUAUUAUUAUUUAGUGUAUGCUAAAAUUCAUGAAUUCAAUACAAGCCUUCAGUUAAUUCAACAUAAACUAUAAAACAACAUAGAUUAGCCGAAGCAAUCAAUUUUUCCUAGGACAAAUAGCCCACAACCAAGCUCUCCAUGUCCUAGUCAUCCAUGGCUAGCUGUAGCCAGCAUGUCCAUGGCAGCAGCCACGCCGUCUUACACUGCAGCCAUACCUUAAAAUAAUUGCUCAGCCCGUGCCGCCAGCGACGGCUGACCUAGGCCACCCACCACGUGCCUAGAUCUAGGAUUAUGAUUGGGAGGAUGAGACAAACAUAGAAGCGGACGGUGACGCCGAGCCCCCACACGAAUUUUGCUGCUGGAGCCAGCAUCCUUAGCCAAGGGCAUUUUGGCCCACACAUGGAAAAACUGACAUGAGACAAACCCAAGGUUGAUGUGAAUCCCUAAUAGAAUAGAAUAGACAUAAGUGUUACAUUAGGAAUGAAGGUUAAAUCUAGUGUCAAAUAGCAGGGAAUUUUCUCUUUGGUCCUGGGCAUAUAAUUUAUGUGCAGUCCAAAAUAUAAUCCGUGUUCUAACAUCAUUGACAAUGAAAGAUAAUUUAGCAUAUUUGCAUUUCCUCUAAUGUGAUAUGGAAAUAUUGAAAGUAGGGAUUGAUUUUUUUAUCGGAAGUCCAAGAAAUUACUUUUUUUCUAGCAGAAAAACUCGCAUACGGUUAUUUGAACCAAUUGCAGAAGCUUUUUUCCCAUAUGAUUCCAAUUCUAUAAUCCUGUAAAUUCAAGCCUAGUGCUAUUUUUUAUUAGUAUUCUCAUGCUGCCAGCACCUUUUAUUGAGAUGAAUUAUUGUUUGGGGGCCACUUUGCAUUCUUCAAAGAUGACAGUUGGAAAGGUUUUAUUAUCUAAUUUCAGUUCUAUAUAACUUUUUUUUCAUGUGAUUAUUAAACCAUGUGUUGAAUAUAAUAUUUCUUUGAUAAUCUGAAGAUUUAUUGGGAGCAAAGGUUAAUAUAUAUUCCAUAAGAGAAAUUUUAGAAUGAUUGGAAAAAAUAAGAGCCGUCCAUCCAGAGAAAUCUAAUGGUGGAAACAAAGGAAGUACCUUGAAGUAACUAAAGAGAAGUACCAAGAAGUACCAUAGUUACACACCAUCCAGAGCAAUAAGUCGAUGCGUGAGACUGAUUUUGAUUUCCAUGGACAUAUACCCAAUGUUGUCCUGCUGCAAUAUUGAUUCAACUGGCCAUGCAUGUCAAAAUACUUAUGCAAAUUAGAUACAUAUUCUACAUUGUUUAAAUAUAUUACUUCUUACAACAUAAUCUAAAUGUUUCAUAAGUGCAUGCACAUGAGAUGAAAUGGCAUGCAAUGUAGCCUAUCAACCAGUUCAAACCCUUGCUCAUUUAGUCGUGACAAUAUAUAAAUUAGCUUAAAGUCGAACUAGACCUGGCUUUGCUGAAAAGAAAACUUUGCAAAUUGAAGCGGUAUAUUAUGAUUUAUUUGAUAGAACUAGAUAAUUUUCCUAACAUAUGUAAUUAAUAUGCAGUAUGCCAGUAUAGGAUAUGGUUGCAAUAAAGCAGAAGUAUCAUUAUUCAAGGAAAAAUGAACGCUGGUGAAAUAUUAUUGCGAAUUCACUAAAAUAAUACAUUAAAUCUAUGGCUUGGAUUAUGUACCACUAAUUCCAUUGUAUAUUCUUUGUUUAUGAAAUUUAAUUCUGUGGCCCCAGAAUGUGCUACUAGAACUACAACAUUAUUACAUAUGUGUGUUCUGAAGAGCAUGAAGCUUUUGUCCUAAGUACAUCUUCUUGCUGAAUUGUUCUGAAUAGCUAAUAAUUAUUUCCAUCGUUUCAGGCAAAUUGUGGUGGGGAUCUGAAAAUGAAAUAUUGGAGUUUGAUUACUGAGUUGCAGGCACUUUAAAAGCGUGUUAUAUGUGAAUGUUAAGCAGAAGUUGAGAAGCUUUGUCUCUUCAUGCUUCCUUUAUGAAUUAAUAGCUAAGAAACAUGGUAGCCCACAAUCCAAAGGUAUUAUUUGCUUCACUACUACUAUUCUCUACUCAGAAAAUGUUGAUAAUUUUAUUCCAAAGAAUCUAACGAUUAAGCAAGGUUAAAAUAUUUUUUAAAGAAGUCCUAGUAACUAUUUUCAUCCACAACAAAACAAAACUGUUUUGUCCAUCAAUAUCUUCAUUGAGCCAUCGAUCAAAACAAGGACAGGCCACAUGCAUUCAUUUUGACUCUUUGAUUUUGUGGUUUUAUUCAACAUACAUAGUUCUAGCUACUUGCCAUUUGAAGUGCACUCUGCCAUGGUUCAUGGAAAUUAAUAAUAGCUAAUCUAAGUGGGUUCAAAAUUUUGGCCGAAAUUUUGCAAAUUUCGUGAAAUUUCGGUCUUUUCGAUGGUGACCGAAAUCACUGUUUGCCCGAAAUUUUGUUCUCUUCGUCGAAAGGUUCACUUUUUAGUCUAAAUUUCGGUCGAAAUUUUGCGAAAUUCGGUGUUUUCACCGGGGACAAAAAAAUCGAAAAACGAAAUCCUAAUCCCUUCUAACAUAUUUUUUACUUGUGUAUUUGUGUAUACAGCUUUUAGAAUAGUAGUGCUGUUGCAUCAGUAGAAUAUAUAGUACACUGCACUUCAGUUUCAGGCUUCUUCGGACCUCCAAAACUCCAGAGCCAGGGACCCAGCCAACUGCAUGUGAGGGCGUGAGGCCGAACUAGUCAACAACCAAGCCGAACGAUGCAGCGCCCCCUCGUAUGGACUGACUAAAUAAAUGUGUGCAAAGCGUAGUGCAGACUGCAGGCAACCGGGCAAUGCGCCGAGCGACGAAGGCGCUGGUGCACGGCUCUCACUCAACCCGGCCCUUGGCAGCGCAAGUAGGCACAUCGAAUCUCAUUCUCUAUUUGAUUUGUCUUCCUAAUGCAAGUAUUAAUUUUUUUAACACAUAAAUCUAAAAUAUAGUGUGCUAAUAUUUCAAGCAAAUUGUUGUUAAACCUGAAAGAAAAGCAUGACUCUUUCAACAAGAAGAAAUAGAUUGCAAUGCAGUUCGGUUCAUGAUGGAUACGACUAAAAAAUGAUUUGCAUGCUAUGAAGUCACGUAGUGUGCCUAAAAUUUUGGAUCAACUAACAUUUAUUUGGUUUUUUCCGGACAAACUAGUCUCAAAACUAUGUUUAAUGUAAUGAAAAUUUAAUGCAAAUGAUAAACGGUAGAACUUUUGGGAACGUAUACAUUUUUCAUUGCAAACGAUCUUGUUCGGCCCCCUAUUCAUAAUUCAUGGUUCUGCCACUGGAUGUGAUCACAUGGCCAUCUGUUUUUGCAAGUCGAUAGACAAAAGAAAAAGUAGUAGACAUAGCUUUUUUUCAUUGUAAAGACAUUUUGACCCUGUUGAGUCAAGUUCCUUCAAGUUCAAUACAAAUUCCAAUCUCUUAGAUAUAUAAUAACUGAUGCUUCCGUCUGUUUUAUUCAUGUUAAUUCAAAUUCAAUGUCUCCCUUCAAGUUCAAAGUGAACCCAAAUAUCUGUGAGGUCGGAAUUUGUUUAAGAUGAAGUUUUGCUCUAUUUGCACUCUUCUUUUUUUUUCUCUCUUCCUAGCUAUUACAAACUCCAAAUGCAUGCUCUUUUUUUUCCUCUCACCUGCUUGUUUCUAUCUUUUAUUCAGUACCUUUUAUUUUUUUGUGAAUCUGCAGCACUAUUCAUAUCAUGUGUUACAAACUUACCACUUUACAAAUUUAUUGUUAGCUAUCCCUUUGCUAACAGCCUGUGGAUUUUUUGUUAGCUAUUGACUGUGAUUCAAGAGAUAGCACAGUAUUUUUAUUUCCCAGUUUAUAGCAUAUGCAGCACUCUCUUUGCUCAGUUUAGUUGAAUGCGCAUAAUCACAUAAUCAGUGUGAUUUGAAGUUCUGAACUAUCUGCUAGCCUUCUCUUGAUCAGCCUUUUUUGUAUCGUAGAUCCUCAAAGGUUAUUGAAUGAAUAGUAUACUGCACAUACACAUAAAGAGUAGUAUUAUUGAGUUGGUUAAAUUUUUCCCAGAUAAUCAAUUUGUAAUAAAUAAAUUAAAGACCUUUUUCUCAUAGUCUCUAGAGAAUAUGAUGAUCACUGGAGCAAACAUCAGGCUUCAGGUUCAGCAGGAAAUAAUGCAACCAUUUUCGAUUGGACCCGAUUAUGGAAGAUGGAAGUUCCAGGUAAUUAACUGAAAAUUAUCCUAUGGAAACUUGCACACAAUAUCUCCAGUUUGUUGCGGGAUUAUGAAGAUGGUGGCCGUUCACUUUCGCAAUACAAUAAUGUAAAUAUGCAGUAGUAGUCUAGACAGCAUGCAAUGUACGUUGAUCGGUAGAACAGAUGUGCAUGGCUACGUCUCUGCAGAACAUAUAUUGUGUUCUCUACGAAUUUGGCAGAACAAAUGUUCAUGGCUAACGAGUGGAGAAGCACGGAUGGAAUUGCCUUUAGUCUUACCUGACAGAAAAUAUCAACAGAAUGAAGUCUUUCCUUUUGGAUCAACGCAUGUAUAGCCUGUAGAUGAACUUAGAUCUGCUAGACUCUUUUCACUGAACGACUAUCAUUACAGAGGAGUACUAGUUCUGAAUAAAACAUAGAGCAGAAAACAUAUAUAGAACACACUUUUGUUCUAACGACUCGAUGACGACGACUCAACACUGAACUGGACUCGACCCUAACCUUAGCACUGCGAUUACGGAUACGAAAUCAAACGAAGCAAACACUACAAGAUAGAUUGUAAAUUUGUAAUGCAAGCGCCUGAACAGGUAGGCGUGCAUUUCUGCCCUCCCAUUACAUGGGCUUGAAGCUCUCGAGACCGUGCUCCCUGAGGAGACGGUCCACGUCCUCAGCUGUGGCUUGGCGACCGCUGCCGUCGUCCACGAUGGCGUCUGCCAUCUCAAGCAGGAAGCUUCCAUUCCGGGGCUCGGCGUCCAGGUUCAGGAGCUCGUCAGCGCCCAUACCAGCAGCGGUGGCCUGAGACUCCGGCUCCACCGCCGGCAGCAGAAGCGACGCGUCAGCUACCAUUGGUGGCUCCUGCGGCGGCGACGCCGGCACCACCACCAGCUCAGAUAGCAGCGGUGCCGGCUCCGGCGCCGGCAGCAGAAGCGGCGCGUCAGCUACCGUUGGCGGCGCCUGAGGCGGCGGCGGCGGCGCCUCCACCAGCUCAGAUUGCAGCGGUGCAGGCUCUGGCUCCGGCGCCAGCGUCAGAAGCAGCGCAUCAGCUAUCAUUUGUGGAUCCUGCGGCUCCGGCGCCGGCGCCACCACCACCUCAGAUUGCAGCGGUGCUGGCUCUGGCUCCGGCGCCAGCAGCGGAAGCAGCGAUUCCUCAGCUACCAUUGGUGGCUCCUGAGGAGCCGGCGCCGGCGCCUCCACCAGCUCAGAUUGCGCUGGUGCCAGCUCGGGCUCCAGCUCCAGCUCCAGCUCCAGCAGAAGCAGCGCAUCAGCUAUCAUUUGUGGAUCCUCCAGCUCCGGCACCGGGGACACCACCAGCUCAGAUUGCAGCGGUGCUGGCUCCAGCUCCGGCGCCGGCAGCAGAAGAGGCGCGUCUGCUACAAAUGGUGCCAUCGCAAGAGGUGGCACCAUCGGUGGCUCCUCCUCCUCCUCCAGCGGCACCACCAGCGCAGAUUGCGGUGGUGUCGGCGGCAUGAGCGGCGCGUUCGCCACCACUGGCGCCGCCAUAGCAACUGGCGGCACCAUUGGCGGCUCCCGCAACGCCAUCAACGCCGCAGCUUCCUCCAGCGGCGGCGAGAACGCCGCCUCUUGGGCAUCCGCCGACCUGAGGAAGUUGACGCGGUCGGCAGUGACGCUCCUGAACGCGUUCAGCACCGACAUGACGGCGGCGGCGAGCUCGCGGGGCAGGUCGUCGAAGUCGCGGCGGCGGCCGAGGCUGACGUCGUUGAGGACCAGGUUGACCUCGAGCCUGCGGGCGGUGGCCUUGCAGCUGUCCACCCUCCUCCUCAUCUUCUUCGCGCGCUGGCGCGCGAAGAUCUCGUUGUCCAGCUUGUGCGCCUCCUUGAGGGAGCCAGGGAGGUCUCGGUACCUUUGCAGGAUCUCCGUGACCUCCGGCACCCCCGGCCAGACCUUGGGCUCGGCCUCGCCGCGGCCGUACACCACCACGGCCGCUUGGACUUGGCAGAGGAUGGAGAGGUCGCGCGCCUUGUCGAACAGAGUGGUGUGGCGCUUGCGGAACGCCGCCUGCCGCACGGCCUUCUCCGCGAUCCAUUGGAUCUUGAUUUUCCCACCACGGCGAGGCAUAGCGCAAGAAACCCUAGGAAUCGCCCGGGGACGAUGCAAGAGGGGAAAUCUGUUCUGUGUUCUAGGUUGGUGUGAGAGCGACGGGGGGGGGGGGGGGGGGGGGGGGGGGGCGGCGCUAACCUGCUUGACGCCAUCGGAAAGGAGUGAUGUCACGAAUUGAUUAGCCGAAUCAAAAUGAUUUUGUUUUACUGGCUGGAUGCAACGAGAUCCCACUGUAUACAUCUUACACAUGGGGCACGCGGUAUAAACGACAGGAUGUCUAGGUUAAAAGAAUGUGCCUAGGAAUAUACUUUGAAAGAUGUAAUUAGGCUGUAAGCCUUUAAAAUUCUCUUCUUAGCUUGCAGGUACCACCAGGCAGCACAGACAAACUUAUUAUGACAUACUAUAUCAUUUUUUUUUCAAGUAGUUCAUAGAAAAAACCUACAAAAAAAUUAAACAUCCAUGGUAACGGACAACUAGCUGAAAUCGUGAGUUUAUAGUUUAGCGCAGUAUGAAUGAAUGAACUAUAACUUACGGCUCCAAAAAAAGGUUUGAUUGAAUUAUAAAUACUUUAAAAUCCUUCUUAUAUGCACUAAUUUAUUUGAAACCGUCAAUUUAUAGUUUAGCAUACUAUGAACGAGCUAAUUUUUUUGUUAUAAACAUUAUACAUUUGAGAACGGCGAUGUAGUAUCUUUUAUGUAGAAAGUAUGUGCAUCCAAUUUGUAGAACAUAGAGUAGUACCAUUGGGUGUGGCUAAAUUGUGGUUCAUAAUCGUAAUGUCUAAAGAAUUAUGCUUGGUUUUAAUAAGAAAAUAUUGCGGUGAAUUUUUCAAGCACCAUUGAUGAAUUUCUGAAAUUUGCAUGAGAUUAAAAAGAACUUUUCUACUCUCCAGAGGACCAACAACUUCUUAUUUAGAAGAUUUUUAUGCAACAACCCCGAGUUCUAGUUUUAUGAUAGCUUGAUAGGUUGUACACUUGUACUAGCGGGGCCAAGUAGAAGGUGAUUAGACUGUAGUUGUGGUAAUAGACAUAUGAACAAUCACACUGUCAGCGCCUGACAAGGGAACGGGGUCCUCCGAGGAGGCACUUACAAGCGGAGCCUGCUUGUUUAAAAGGGCUCCCUCUUCGAGAAGCCCAAAAUAAGGAGAUGGGCUGGGGAAUCUGAGGUCCUCGGAAGACAAGGUAAAUAUCGCGCCUGCCAGGUGGGACCCACAGGGCCCCACGUUGCGCCCGGGAGGGUUCGCUUCGAGGCGAAGCAAGUGAAGGCGUACUCAAGAGCGAGAGGGCACGACAGUCAAGGCAGGCUGUCAACCGCUCGCCCCGUCCUCGUAAAAACACCGUCAUUACGGUCAAUGGAACACGCCUAGGCCUCCCGACGGCCUCACACAUCCCGUCCAACAGGCGGCGGGCGCCGCUCUCGUGCUGAGAACGCUCGCCUGGCUCCCGGCUGCCCGCUACUCAGAGGGGGGCGCCACGACCCCGAGAAACAGCGACGACCUCGCGGGAAGAGACUCGGGAGCCAGAUUCAACACCCCUCUCCCCGGGAAGUGGGCCCAGGUCAAAAAGCAUGAAGGUUACCAUGAUAAGAUGGUAAAAAAAAACAAGAUUGACAUACGAAGGACUUGGACGGGGUUCUCCGGCGCCGUGCGUACCAAGGCAAGGAAGCGUCAGGGCAAGUGGAUGGCACGUCAGAGGAGCUGUAGCAGGGAGGACGGCCAUUGGGCCGCCACGUUCAUACAUACAAUGUAAAGGGAUGGAUUGGGGUGCAAGGCUCGCCCAACCAGUCCCCACAUGGGCCUAGCCUAUAAAAGGCCGGUUCUUGUAUAAACAAGACAGACAUCUCUAAGCAACACAACACACAGGGCGUAAGGUGUUACACUUCUGAGCGACAUGAACCUGUCUAAAAACUCUCUUAGCAAAAUCACACGCUAACUCCCAUAGACGCUUCUCGAAUCUCUACGCACGAGCUAACCCCCAAGCCGGAUCUCUAAAAGAGGGUCUCGUCGGAUCCCCGCUCUCGGUGCUUGACAACCGUCGCACACAUAUGGACAACAAAAAAUAUUUUCGACGAUUAUACUCCAUUAUCAAAAUGGACUGAAUAUAUACGUAAAUUUUUUAUGUUAAUAGCAAGCCAUGACCCAUAGAAAUGUAGUGGUCCAUCAGCAUAUAGGCCAUGUAGUUUUUGGUGUAUCUUGUAUUCAGCCUACAGAUCAGACCGUGGUUUCACUAAGAUGAGGAAAAUAAACGGCCAUAUAGGCCCAGAGAAGGGGGUUGGAACUUGGAACCGUGGGCCUUGUAACACUGCCCCCCAGGCCUUUCCACUGGGCCUCGGGGAUCGAUCGUGUGUGCUCUCCUCCUGAUUCGUAACGUACGUCUCGCUGGCUGCCUGCGCCCUCUGCAGAUCUCUCUCUAUUACCGUCGCUCAAGCCCAGCAAGGCGGCCACCAUGUUCUCUCUCUGUCCAUCUUCACUCACCAAGCUUCUUAUCUUAUUCACCUACGACUGCAAAACUUACCAGCCCUGCUAAGUGCCGUCAGUACUCAUUACCACCAAGUCAUCAGCAGAGCUAACACAGACCAAAAUGGUCAACAACAAAAAAAUCAAUAGAAGCUAGCAGCCCACGAGCCCUUGUCGAUGUGUGCAAGUAUGCAGCACAUGCUCUCUGUUGGGCGCCAGCGCCAUUGGCCUAGCCCAAAUUCCAAGGAUACAACACUUGCUGUCACAUCAACAGAUCGAUCCUCUAAAAUUUUUUUCUGCUCCAGCGCUUCUCAUGAUCGAAUAAUGUGGAUUAAUUAAGAUCAAGUCAACUGUGUGUAUUAUGAGAUGAGCCACGCUUUGCCAGCGCCGCCGGUCGCCGUCGCCUCAAUCCGGCCGCCCCGCGCGGCCGGCUGGGGAUGCCUCCACGCACGUGCACGCCAUGUGUUCGCUCUCGACUAGAUCGUGCUAGCUAUCCUCUCUAUCUAUAAAACACGCUCGCUGCACUGAGGACACCGGCGGCCGCGUGCUCGAUCGUGACCACCAAUUGCCAACUAUGGCGCGCCUGUUCCUCCCUGCCAUCUUGCUGGCCCUCGUGCUGGUCGUCUCCAACGCCGGUGCCGCGGAGGCGGCGUGGUGGUCGGGGUGGAGGUGGGACUGCCUGUUCCCCAACAACGGCCGCGGCGGCUACGGCGACCACGGCCACGACGGCGACCUCCCGAGCCACAGCCACAGCCACGUGGCGUCGAUCGUAACGGAGGACCUGUACCGCUCCUUCUUCCUGCACAAGGACGACGCCGCCUGCCCCGCGCGCGGCUUCUACAACUACACCUCCUUCCUCCGCGCCGCCGACGCGUUCCCGGCGUUCGGCGGCGACGGCGGCAACGCCACCCGGAGGCGCGAGGUGGCGGCGUUCCUGGCGCAGAUCUCCCACGAGACGACCGGCGGGUGGGCGACGGCGCCUGACGGGCCCUUCGCGUGGGGCCUCUGCUUCAAGGAGGAGAUCAACCCGCAGAGCAACUACUGCGACGCCAACAACACCCAGUGGCCGUGCGUCCCCGGCAAGUCCUACCAUGGCCGCGGACCCAUCCAGCUCUCAUGGUGAUAACUUGAUCCAGCUCCAUCUCCUCGUCCUCCUCCAUUUCUGCUGGCAAGGUCGCCUUAAUUGCAUCACUUGGUGGCUGCUGUGAUGUCGAUCAGGAACUACAACUACGGGCCGGCGGGCAAGGCGGUGGGCUUCGACGGGCUGCGGGAGCCGGAGGUGGUGGCGGGCGACCCGGAGGUGGCGUUCAAGACGGCGCUGUGGUUCUGGAUGACGCCGCGGGCGCCCAAGCCGUCGUGCCACGACGUGAUGGUGGGGCGCUACCGGCCCAGCGGCGACGACCUGGCGAAGAACCGGACGGCGGGGUUCGGGCUGACGACCAACAUCAUCAACGGCGGGAUCGAGUGCGGACCGAGCGGGAAGCCCGCGCCGGUGGAGGACCGGAUCGGCUUCUUCAAGCGGUACUGCGGCAUGCUCGGCGUCGACGUCGGGCCCAACUUGGACUGCGCCAACCAGCAGCCCUAUUCCAGUCCUAGCUAGCCGCCUUUGAGGCUUUGACCCUUUGUUUUGUGCUCGCAUCGCAUGCAUGCCUCAUUCUGUGUUUGUACUGUACUCGCUGAGUUUCUCUUUGCCAACAAUAAAGUUGGCGUUUCUUACAAGUUACAAACAAGAUGGGCAACGUCGUUGAAUCCUUAACUUCUCUAGUUGCAAGAAUGUACUUACUACUAUGAGAACUAAUUAAGGAGGCACUUCUCUAGCUCGUUGAAUCAUCUGCUGCAAGUGUAUGGAAGCAGCUGGAACCGUCGUAGACACGUGAAACGUGAUGACGCACGAAUGAUUGGUUGGGUCGUCGUUGGGACCAUAGGCAAGGCAGCUGUGCGUCCAAACUCCAAACAGGCCCCACGUACUGGCGUGCUCUUGCAGGGGAAGAAGAGAGGUAGCCCCAGGUCAGGUGGGUGCAUCAUCUGCUGGACUGGACGGACAGGAGCUAGCGAUGAAUUGAUGCUUGCUUGGGGGGCACCGGAACCCCCGGUUGCUGAGUUCUUGGUUUAACUCUCUGAACGAAACAAGCAGAGCUUUGCACACACCGCGUUUCAGCAGGUCGCGUUUCGUCUGAACUGGAGAUGCAUCUCUUCCCUGAUGUCACACGCACGCACUACUCGCUAGCAGUGGGCCGGGAGUGCUCGUUUAGUUUGUCGCUGCUUCGCAACCUAGUAUGUAACAUGUGUCGUCUGAGGGGUGGUGAUCGAACGAAGCAUCCGUCAUCAGCAGAACCAACACCGAGAUACGCAUACAAAAUUAAAGGUCGCAGCAGAUGGCAACUUUGAUUCGCUGAGAAUUUGGCAAGCAGCGCAAUCAGCACACGAUUCUCAACAACUUUGAUUAAUUAAUUGCAACGACGAUCCAUCAGCCGGGAAGAAACUUAACAAGUCGAUCGAUCAACAAUCAACGUGAUGAGAUGAUGAACAGCGAAUAAUCAAGUACUGGAAUCAACGACGACGACGACGACCAAGAGCGGGGGAACGAAAUUAAACUAAACAAGAGUACUAGUAGCUAGCUAGACGGCAUGAACACACCAGGAGCUAGCUGGAGCGCUAAUCGACCAGAUCGAUCGAUAGCACUCCUCCCGGCCUCUCUACUACUUGGUGAUGGCGUAGAUGGCGUAGAUGAUGCCGGGGAGGUAGCCGAGGAAGGUGAGGAGGAGGCAGAUCCAGAACUCGUGCCCGCACCCGUGCUUGAGGAACACCCCCAGCGGCGGCAGGAUGAUGGCGAUCAGGAUGUCGACGCAGUUCGCCGUCCCCUCCGACAUCUUUGCUGCUGCUGUUGCUUCUCUUCCUUUCCUUUGUUGCUGCUGCUGGAUCGGAGGACCUUCUCCCUCUCUCCUUCUCCUGCUUGAUGCUGUUGGCUCUCAGUGCCGUGCUCUGGUAGUCUGUUUGUUUGCUGUGCUUGGAUUCCUCCUUUCCUUUGGUCCGGGUGAUUUUAUAGACCGGG